This 70735-nucleotide long non-coding RNA is filed under the name Arabidopsis lyrata. RNAcentral describes it as "long non-coding RNA (ALYR_LNC002279)". Lineage: Eukaryota; Viridiplantae; Streptophyta; Magnoliopsida; Brassicales; Brassicaceae. The record is from RNAcentral.
UUUUUUUUUUUUUUUUUUGUGCUCAAAUUCAGUGAUUAUGUAGUUAUAUAUGGAGAGUAUUAAGUGCUUACAACUAUAAUGCAUGGACAUUCACUUAUUCGUUGAUUUACAUAACAUAUAUAAUUAUACACGUGACAUCCAUAACAAAUAAGAAAUCAUUAAUAAACAAUAAUUCUUACAUAUAUUUAUCAAAUUAGAACAAUAAAUCAAUAAUAUAUUCUUCGUAUUAUUAUUAUGAUUUAUUACCAACAAUGAGAACAAAUUAGAAUUUCUAUUUGAGAGAAUAUCACCAUAUCAUUAAAAUAAUAAUAAUAUAUGGUAUUUUGUAUAUUUAACUAAAAAUUGUUAAUUGACUAACUUUAUUGCUGUCAACAUACUGAUUAUCUUCCUAUUCAAUAUGGGCUUAAUAUGGGAAUAUAUUUUCAUUCCUGUAAUCACUAUCUUUGUUAUUUUCCCCUUGAGAUCAGUCAGCAAAGUAGGUAAAAAUCAUGUUAUUUUCAUUUUAUUAUAUUAGUUGACUUUCAAUAACUUUCAAUUUAAAAUAAAAGGUAUUUCUGAGUUCUAUUUGAUAUUUUAACUAAAAUAGGAUUUUUCCUACCAAUUUUAACUAUCCAUUUCUUAUCAUACAUUAUCAUAAAAAAUAUUAGAGGGGCGUCAGAAUAUAACCCAUGUUUCGUUAGCAUUCUAAAAUUUACAUAGAAUUCUGAAAUUUUAAUCAUUUAAUCUCAUGUAAAAGAAAAGAUAGUGUCAAAAUUUACUAUUAAUAAAAUUUUGAAUUUAUUCUAAAUCAAACCUAAAAGAAUAAAUAUUUUCUAAAAUGAAAUUUGGGCAAAUAUCAUUGAAGAUAUUUUUCUUAGAAAAAGAGGUCAAUAUAAAUGUGAGUUCGAGCGCCAACUUAAGGAUUCUUCUUAGUUUUUGUUUUGAACUGGAUUGUUAACUGUUUAUCAAAAUUUCUUUACGUGGUCCAGUGGACGAUACGAGGCCCAAUAAGGCCCAUACACUGGCACUGCCAAGUAGAAAAUGAAGCAGUCCGUACUCCGUAGAUUAAGGGAGUUGUUAUGGAAGUUGCCACUGAAUGCAAACACGAGAAGGGCCGUUCAAUAUUAAUCAUCCCCUAUAUAUUAAUAAAUAUGAGAAACAUUUUUUUAAAAAAACCUUACCAUUAUGUGUUAUUAACAAGAUUGUCACGUUGAUAUGUCGCUUUCACAAUGAUUUGGCUUAUAUUUAGAUAAUUACCCAAAAUUUAUUAGACUAUUUACAGAAUUUGCCAUUAGUCUCAUAUAUCCAUAUAUCUCAUUAAUAAUUAAAAACAUACACUUUUUGUUUAUCUUAUAUUACUAUAUUUUUAUAUUUAUAUUUUUCUUUAUAUAAAUUUUCUUUAGCAGAUGGGUAAACAAUCUUUUUAUUUAUAUUUAUAUUUAUGUUUAUAUUUAAAUGAUAAAAUAUAUACAUUUGGUUCAAGAAUUUCGAAUUCAAAACUACAAAAUCUUUACAUCUUUCAUAAAUUUUUUACUUAAAUAAAUAAGAUAAUCUCCUUUCUAUAUAUGUUACGAAUACUUAAAAUCCACUUAAAAUCCUAUUUUUUGGAGGAGUUCUAACAUUUCGAAGAAAAACAUUAUAACCACAUUUGUAUAUAAACCAAAUUCUGGCCACAUUAUAACCAUUUCGUAAAUAAUCCAUUCAUAAUCUAAGAAUCUUAGAUUUGGAACACUACAAAAUCUUAGCUUGGAAACUAUCAAAUCUCAUCUUUGCUAAAUUUUGGAUUUCUUAUACUUAUUAAAAAAAAAAAAAUCUUUUUAUACUACAAAAUCUCGAAAUCUUUAAAACAUACGGAAAGACAUAUUGCCAUAAAUGGUAACAUUUCGUCAAUACUUUUUUAUUAUAUUGAAGCUUUAUUCAAGGUUCAAAUAUUUCACGGGUAAAACCUAUUCUUAUAUGAAAUAGUCCCAAAUUUGAAUAAAACAAAAAAAAAAUUGUAACAUGUUUCGUUUUACACAAACGGAUCUUGGAUCCCGGAUAAUAAUUUUAAUCAUAAUAAUUUUACUUGAAUCACUUCAUCCCGCAUAUCGUGCGGAUUGUUAUCUAGUUCCAUUAUAUUUUCAAAUAUUGUUUUUGGUUUUUACUUUUACCAAAAAUAAGGGGUAAAAGUUUCAAAACACAAGAAAACAACACUACAAAAAAAGUGUGCAUUGAUAGCACUACACGAUAGCACGGAUUCUCUAAUUGCUAUUAAAGAUGGUAUGCAGAAUUUUGUAACUAUAUCAUAGCGUUUCAAAAAACGCUAAGACGAAUAAUAGCAAAGCGGGAAGCAAAAAUACUUAUGACCGCCAACAAUUUUCCAAACUAUUUGAUUUAACGCCCGCCAUUAAAAAAAAAAAAAGAACUCUUAAUGACCUAGGUCAUAAGACUUAACUUCUAGUUUUUUUUCUAAGUCUUUACUCGUCGUCUUCUUCUCUAAAAAAAGUUCUCUCAUCUCUAGAUCCACACCACCGCCUAGCCACAUACCUUUUCAGUUGGCAUGGUCUCGUCUCCUCCGUCUUCCACCGUUAAAGGUACCAGUCUAUUCCUCCUCGUCUUCUCUUCACAUCUUCUUCUUCUCCCUCCCUUCUCGUCUUCACUUCUUGAUGAAAUUCAGCCUCAUGGAUUUGAAUCGGUGUGUCAAGGAGAUGAAUUCGCACAAGAUAAAUUGAAUCGGUAAGGAGAUCGGAAACCAGAUGGUGGUGACAAGAAGGAGAAGAAGUUCGAACGAGCCGCACCACCUGCUCGUGUUGGGAGGAAGCAACGGAAGCAGAAAGGACUUGAAGCGGCGGCUAAAUUUCAGACCGUGACUCCUACUAAAUGAAAGCUUCGAUUGCUUAAUAUAAAGCGAUUAGUACAUAAAUGAUUGGAUCAUGACCCUCUAUUUCCCUGAUUCGAGUAAGUUCCUUCAUCUUUCUUGAUUGGGUUGUUGAAAAAUUGUAACUUAAUGGUUCUACUCCGAGUUAACUGUUCUAAUUGAAAACUGGAAACUUGAGCAGAAAUACGAAGCUAGUCGAAAAGCUGAAUGAUGCAUACAAGAAAUUCAUGGAUUUGCCUAACGACUUAUUUUUCAGUUUUGUCUACGACUCUAGCAUGGAUUGUUGAGUGUUAUAUCUUUUUAAUAUGUCUUAUGCUUGCUUUGAUUUGUUGUUAAUAUGUCUUUUUAAGGAGAUGAAAUCCACCGAUAGCCUGGUAUGCUUCCACUUUCUCGUCUCUCAUGCUAGUAAAUUUAUGCUUGCUUUGAUUUGUUGUUAUGUAAUUGAUUUUAUUUUAAGGGGUUACGUUUUUAGAGUUCUAUUUGCACACAAGGUGUUCGACGAAUUGACUGUGAGACAGAAACUGAGAAACGACUCUCUCAACAUGUCUUCCUAUGAUGAUCUUUCAUGUUUGCUAAUUGAAUGUAAAAAUUUGACCUUUGCUUUUGUAGUCUAAAAUGGUGGACUAUAUCCUUGAAGUCUCUAAUCCUAUGAAACAGCACUUUGAGGUGAGUAAUAUUUUUUGUCUGUAAGCUCUUAGUGCUAAGAAGUUUGUAAUUGUGAUUUGGCAGCUCAUUUUAAUGUGGAGGGUUUUGGUUAUGUCCAGUUAACACUAUAACCUCAAGUUUUGUGAAUAGAAAAACGUCUAUAGAUUAAGACCACCACUAGGUAACUAGAAACUCUUCAUUCAAGGUAAAUAUUCUUUACUUUCUUAAAUUAUGAAUCUUGUGCCAUUUACCUACUUAAUGAGGUUUGUCUUCAAAUAAUGCCAGAGAAUGGCUCUGCUUUCAUGUUCGAAGAGAGAUCUAUUAAUAAGAUGGUAAGAAACUGUCUUUAUUUAUUUAUUUAUGUGGUCAUAUAUAGUUAUGUAAAGCUAUUUGCUUUCAAUUAUAAGAGACGUCUUGACUCUAAUCCAUGUUUCUUAGUGGUUUAGUUAAUGGCCACAUGUGGGUAUCAAAAUGUUGUGGUAAUUUUGUGUUGGUAUAGCUAUUAUCUUUCCAUGGAAGAUUUUUUUCUCUCUCUCAGGUUUAGUUCUUUGUUUUAAUUCUCAGGUUGUUGGCAUUCUCUCUUCAUGCACCAUCAAAAGUGUGUUCUUGUAGACACUCAUGAUGUUGGUAAUAACUGUAAGGUCACAGCUUUUAUUGGAGGUAUAGAUCUUUGUGAUGGCCGCUAUGACACACCUGAUCUUGAAACUGUGUUUAAGGAUGAUUUUCACAAUCCUACAUUUCCUGUGAGUUUAUGAUUAUUCGCUGGUUGUUUCAAGCUAUAAUCCUAAUUCCUUAUUUACUUUUGAUUUGUUUCUAUUUCUACUUCCUCAGGCUGGUACUAAGGAUCCAAAACAGCCUUGGCAUGAUUUGCACUGAAUGAUAGAUGGGCAUGCGGUCAAUGCAAGAAGGACGUCAUUGUAAGGAGGACAUAGAGAACAUGACAUGGAAAUGGCAACAAUAGUCUAGAGUAUUGGAUUAAACUUUGCUAGGGCGGAUAAUGACCAAGAGAUCUUCCUCUUCCAACCUCUUCUUCUAUGAACUACAAAGUGAUGAUUUCAAGGUAAAAGUUAUGGCUGAUGGCACGUGAAUGCUUUGUUUAGGCGGUAAGAUUUAGAAAAGAAAAUUUGUUUGAUCAAGUUAGUUGAUUGUGUUUGGUAGAAUCUGUGAUUGUCGAUAGGAGAAGUUUGUUUCUCUUUGCCCCUUAUCUCAUAAAUUAGUACUCUUGUUAUUUAAGAGUCGUUGAUGUAUUUAUAUAAGAUUUGGUUUGGAUUAGUCUUUUGUAAGGACUUUGUUUUUAAUGGAUUUUCUAUGAAAUAAAAAUAUAUUUAAAUAUAUAUUUUUGACCAGAUUUAAUUUAUAUAAAAAUAUAUCAAAUAUAGAAUUCAAAACGUGUCAAUUUUAAUUGAAAAAAAUAGAAUCGAGAAAAUGCUAUAACAUAAUAUAUCGUGGCAUAUUUAAUGAGCUACAAUUGAAUCGAAUAUAGCAUUUAAUUAACGUUAUGGUAGUGCAACUUAUAAUAGCAUUCCAAAAAAUGCUAUCGUAGGGGAAACAUCUACCAUAGCUGCCGAUGUCAUAGCAUUUGUGAUUUCGCUAUCUAUAACGUAAGAUAGCAGAUGUUUUGCGCUAUCAAUGAACAAUUUUCUUGUAGUGCAAACUCCCAUCAUCACAUUCUUUACGAAUUACUCGCUCUUUUUUUUUUUUUAAGAAUACUUGGAUCGUAAUUGUUGCAUAUUGAGUUUGUAUUUCUUCCGUUUUUAAGUAUUUUUUGGUUGGGCUUCCGUUUUUAAAUAAAUGAUGUAUUGGUUGCGCAUGUAGUAAAACUAUGAUUAAACUAUGGGAAAAAUGUCGUUAAAAUCCUCAACUUAUUCAAAACGUUGAUUUAAAUCCUCAACUCAUGACGAAACGAAAUAAAUAUCAAACUUAUGUUGACUUUCCAAAUAAAUAUUAAACUUAUGUUGACUUUCCAAAUAAACACCAAACUUUCAUUGACUUUCCAAAUAAAUAUCAAACUUCCGUUGACCUGACCAUAUUAGGUACGACGUUAAGUGGGUUAAUAAAUCCUCAACUCAUGACAAAACGAAAUAAAUAUCAAACUUAUGUUGACUUUCCAAAUAAAUAUCAAACUUAUGUUGACUUUCCAAAUAAAUAUCAAACUUCCGUUGACCUGGCCAUAUUAGGUACGACGUUAAGUGGGUUAAUAGAUCUCGUUAACGGAGGUAAUUUUUUGUUAACAUAUAUGUUAAUUGAUAACGACAUUGUUUCAUAUAACAACAAAACGACGUCGUUUUGUAGUAAGGAUUGAAUUAAAUCCCUAAAGUCAAUCUUAGAUCCCCAAAUCGAGCAAAAUCCAUAACCCUAAAUAGAGUAUGAUUUGAAACUCGGGAUUGUAUUGAACAGUUACGACAAAACAACGUCGUUUUAUGUUUAGAAGGAAUACUUGUUAGUGUUUUGAUCAACAAACGAACUAUGUUUUAACAGAGUAUGAAGAACAAAACCAAAAUGAAAAAUAGAGUAUGAAGAAACUUGAUCUUUGAUAAGAUAAAAUGUAUUACACACAAUGAUGUUAUUGAGUUUGACUCGAUCUACUUAUACAACACGAAACAACGUGUACGUACAUGUGUUAAUCGAAAAGACACAACUUUACGAACAGACACAACUAUACGUACGUACAUUCGUGACUUUUACGUAAAUAACUAACUUAUAUGAAUACGACUUUAUGUUAUAUGACUUAGAUGAUAUUUGAUUAUAGUUCAACAAGACUGUCAUUUUUAAUUAGCGGGUCUGUUAACAGAAAAUUAAUCCCGUUAAAAUUGUCUGUUAACUCACUUAACGUCAUGUCUAAUAUGGCCAAAUCAAUGAAAGUUUAGUGUUUAUUUGGAAAGUCAACAUAAGUUUAAUAUUUAUUUGGAAAGUCAACAUAAGUUUGAUAUUUAUUUUGUUUCGUCGUGAGUUGAGGAUUUAAAUCAACGUUUUGAAUAAGUUGGAGAUUUUAAUGACAUUUUUCCAAUUAAACUAUCUACAUAAUAUAAUUAUGACAUUUUUUUAACCAAAACCUUUUGGAUCUUAGAUCCAUAAUCUUCUCGGAACGAGACCAAAUCCGGUUAAUCAAAUCCAUUUUCCGUUGUCGAUACUAAAACUCCAAAUCUUGAAAGUUCUCCUACUUAGCUGAUCAGUACACCAGUUAAAGUGUUGACACUUGACACCGUAUCUUUCAAUUAUGUAAUUAUUUUCAAACUAAUAAAACGUAAAAAUUAGCAAAGACUGGCUUGAUUUCAAGAAAACCCAUCACACUAAAUUCACCAGCACAAGAAUAUGUGUAAAUAAUCACAUUAGUUUGCACACACAAAAAAACAAUUAUGAAACCAACCAACAAAAACCAAGCCCACUUGAGAGAGCAUAGUUAAGAAAUCACCAUCAUGUCCCUAUACGAUGGAAACUACCAUGUCAUCGUCCCGCCGGGAAACAGCCAUCGGCGACGGCUGCUCAUCAAGGAGUAUUGAUUGUCUACAAGUGGGGCAAGAGGAACGUGAGAGCAACCAAGUAUCGAUGCACCUCACGUGGAAGCCAUGGUUACAUUUAGGCAAAACCCUAACUUUUUCCCCGUCUUCGAAAUCUCCGAGACAGAUCAAACACUCCGUAGCUUUCAUGUCAAUGAUUCCUGAUCCGUACAAUCCCACGGGAAUUUGUUUCAACGCCUGUUUCUUGAGCCCUGUGGCAGACGCUAAACGUCUUGAAUUUGCGUUUGCGUUUGAAGCGUUUGCGACUUGAUCAUCCGAAGUGAAUCUCCGAGUUAUGCGUAGUACACAUCGCAAGGCAGAGUUGAGGCUUAGAGCACAGAUUAAAGCGCAGAGUAAAGCAGCUAAAAUGAUGACCAUGUUAGUGUCGAAGUAGGUAUCGUUUAUGCCUCCUUUGGGUUUGGGGUUUGCGUCGGCGGGUGCGUUUGCUUGUGGCUCAAGUAGCAACCGACCCAUCUUUUGAGGUACGCUUGAGAAGCAGAGGAGAGAACAAAACUUGAAUUACUUCACCUUCAAGAUUCGUGUCGUUGUUGGUCAAAUCGAAUGACAAAAGAGAUGGAGAAGAGAGAAUCGAUAUCCCUCACCCUCAUGUUCUUAAAAAACUCUCAAUUAAUUAAUCUCUGCACUCUUCAUUUCUGAGCUUUGAUCUUUUUUUCUGAUUUGUUUCUGUCUCGUGAGUCGUGACUUGUGUGUAAAGAUGAGGGGAGGCAAAAAUAUUUAUGUCAAGAUUGUGAUAAAAAAGAGUCAUAAAUGAAUUUAUGGGCGACUCUGUUAUAGAGAGAUGAUGAUGUGGUUGGACCAAGAUUUUUUUUUUUUUUAAGUAGAAAUUUUUUGGUUUGAAAAAAUUACUAUUAUUUAUAUAUAUAUAUAUAUAUAUAUAUAUAUAUAUAUAUAUAUAUGUAGCAAGUGAAUGGUCACUUUUAAUUUUGUUUGUAUUGGUUGAUGUCAAUUUUUUUUUUUGCUCUACUAUACCAAUGUCAAUUUCUAGCCCUAUAUAUUGGUCGAGAAUCAGUGAUUUUCAUAUUAAUAGAAGCAAAAUAAACCUUUGAUUUACAAUUUCGUACAAAAAAACACAAAUUAGAGCAUGUAAUGAGCCACUAUAUAAUUUAUACCGUAAUUUGUAUAUCCUAAAAGUACUUAUGAUCUCUAUAUGUGGGACACUAUUUUUGUUCAAUUCUUUGUUGUAUACUUGUAUCGGUGUGUAUUAUUAAUUUUGAUAAAUAUAAAGGAUAGAGCAAAGAAGAAGACAAAUAAGAAAACGAUUAGUUUAGUAGAUAUCAGAAUUGACAACUAACAAACUCAUUAUUAGUGGUUUUAAGAACUUUGGAAUCAAGCUAAAAGGAAUUAAUUCUCAGAUAACAAAAAACUACAAAUGAGAUUUGAUGUAGAAAAGAAAUAUUGGAUUAUAUAAACUGUAUGGUUGGGGUAUCAUAUUCCCAACUAAUCAUGAAGAAUAUAAUUAACAUAUCAUAUACAUAUAUAUUCCAUGGUUUUGGUUUUCUUGUGGGUAGACACAUCUUUAAUAGCCAAUUUGGUUUUGGUUACCAACUUGGUUUUGUGUAGUCGGUCAAGGCCAAGAGAUUUUACAUUUCUUUGUUCAUUGCAAAUAUCAUAUGAUAGUUUGUAAGAAAAUUCGAAGAUUAUCUAGAUUCCGAUGAUGAAAUCUUAUGUGUAUAUAUGUAGUUGGUUUAUGAAUCGAAUGGUCCAUACAAAAUUCAUGUGGCACUUACGGGUCCACAAGUAUAAGAAGUCCAAUUCAAACACACUAAUUAAUGUAGUAAUACAAACGAAAUUAAAUAGAAUUACGAGUUCACGCAAAGGUCACAACACUUGUCUCUCUUAGCUUCAAUAGUUCCAUUAGUUGAUAACAACACCUCAACGUGAGAUCCAUCAAACCCCAUACACGAGUCUAUUGUGUGUAUUUACUAUGUCUAUUUAUCAAAUUCAAAUACUUGGUUAGAAGUUGCUAUGGGUCUCAUAUAUUCAAAAAAUUUAAGGAACUCGUAUUUAAUUCGUAUAUGCACAGAUAACAUCUAUAUUUAUGUCUAAUUCGAGUUGUUAGUUGGUAGCCAUUUUAAUUUAUACUAGACAUACAAAUGAAAUAAAAAGUCGAUGAAUUAAAAAGAUGAAUUCAUGAUAAGAUUUAUAUAUACAAGCAAAUGAGUACUGUAUAAAAUUUGAAAUAUAACAUAUAUACAACCAAGUUGAUAUAUUUUACAGGCGAAAUUUUUUAUUGUAGAAAUGGUUGGGAAUCAUGUCCACCUACAAAAGAGUGUGAUAUCAGUAAUAUUCUUUUAAUUAAUAUAAUAUAUAGUAGGUGGACAUGCAGAUUGAAGACUAUAUUAUCAUAGAAUUUUUGUUUUUUUUUUUUUAAUUUUUUAAUAUUAUCAUAGAAUUCAUUUUAGUUAUAUAUUAUACAUAUUGAAAAUGAUAGUAGUUGAAAGAAACAUGAGAAAUAAAAAUGUGAUUCGUAGGAAUGCGUAAUAGAGUUUGAAUUAUCCUCUUGGAAUUGACCAUGUAUAACAACAGAAAUGACUACACCUACUCAUUCAUAUAGUAGUCAUUACUUGUAGACUUGCAGCAUUGUUUUUUUUUCCUUACUUCAGACUUGUAGCAUUGUUUUUUUCUGACGUCAGACUAGUAGCAUUAUUAACUAAUCCAUAUUUUUCUACAGCAUUAUUAAGUCAUUAGCUAGUCCAAUUGUGUAAGUGGGAUUCUUCUAUUGAUAAUUUCGUAUUAAGCAAUAACUUAUGUGACGUGGACACGUGACCUAACGAUACUUGGUAUAUGGGCUUUUAACGUUGGGCUGGUCAAAUCCAUCUGAAAUGUGAGAAUCUUGUUCUGCACAGCGACGUCGUUUAGCGAACAUAAGCCAAUUUCAAGCUUCUCUAUUGAGUUUUUUUGACAGUGGUGUUAAGCUUUAGACAAAGGCAGAGUUAAUUUAGUUAAACAAAUAAACCAUCUUAUAUUCAUGAUAUGACGUUUAGUUAUACUACAAAUGGUGAAUAACAAGAAAAACUAAACACAAACAAGUAAUAGCAUCCUCAGAAUCACCAAAGUUAAGCUCAUGAAUCUUUAUCGUUGGUUAAGCUCCAUGAGAGUCUGCUUAUAACAUUUUCGUCCACUAUUUUGUAGUGGUGAGACAACCGCCUGUGUAUCGUCCCGCAACACUUGUCUACUUUGCUUUGAUAUUUACUGUACAAAGCGGGUAUUGUUACAGAUAGGAUUGUCCCUGUUCACACCAUACAAAGAAUAAACUACAUAUAAGACUUUGGUUUCACUGAGUUAAAAACAGCAAUGUCGCGGGAACUAAAACGAUAUCAACAAGCAAGAUAACGGAUUAGAAGGUUAUGAAUAGGGGAAGAAACUAAAUGAUUAAAAACCAUAAAAGCUUUUUCUCUCAUUUGCAUUUUAGGAUCAAGUCACUAACCAAUAUAAACAAGAGUGCAGAGAGAUAUAUAGCUACCAAUGGCAGAAAGAAGCCACAGACAAAUCACCACCUGCUAAAGAAAAACCGUCAGACCAAUAGUUCAGAUGCUUAACGGUUCCCAUGUCAUUUCACUCAAUUUCAUUGUGAGUUUAUGAAAGGGUUCGCUUCGUAACCUUGAAGAAGAGUCGAAAAUCAUUGCCAACUGUGACAUCAUGAGCCAUUACAAGCAAGUGAUUGAGUUUUAUACGGAACGAAGCUGCUGCACUAUUCACCAUUUCCUCUGAUAGAACAAGCUCUGGCAACGAAUGCAACUGUCUGCUUAUUAAGAGAUAACAGGUAGACAUCAUCAGUCACAUAACAGCAAAGAAUUAUGAAAAAAGACUAGUGAAAAGUAGAGCGCACCUUUUCCUAAAAGCAGAAACCCGGGCAUGGACGAACGAUAUUAUGAUCCCGAUGAGUAAGACAUCUGAAGAAACAGAUAAGAAAGGCAACCCGGAAAACUCGAAUAUAAGCCAGGCUACAGUUGAUAUAAUGAUAACACCCAAAGAAAGAUGUCGUCUCCUCCAUAAGAGCAAGUCAGCAGCUGCAUUAAAGAACAAAGCCAUACAAAAUCAUAACCCUCGCAAAUGUCCUAAGAACUUCACAAACAGUAGCAUUUUGCUGGACAUAUGAACUCAUCUAUUUCUCAUUCAAGAUCAAACCUAAACCUAACUUUCACCUGCCAAGGUUUUCAUCUUCUACUAUAACCAAAAUGCUAAAUGUACUUGCACACAUGACGAUUUCACAACCCACCAAAAUCAGAAACCCUAACUAUUCCAACUAUCAUCCCCAGUUGGCAUUUUACGUUCUGUAAAACCGAGAAAUUUCAUCGGAAACUACCCAAAUGAUGAUAAAUAAAAAAAAAACACAAAUUCGGAAAAAAAGAACUCGCCUUUGCCACCGCCCAUGAACUGAUGAACCGUAACUUGCCGACCCAACAAUCGAUAAUCCGAUGACGAUCCUCCUUCAUUUCUUCCAUCGCAAUCACCAUCGAUGUCACUUAAACUGUCCAUCGGAGAAUUCCAAAAACCCGAAUUGACACAAAUUCUCCGACUUCCAGGGUCCAAUUCCGAUCUCAACAACUCCUGAUCGAAAAAUUCUCACCUUAAAUCUGCGAUCUCAGAUUUUCCGAGAAGAAUGAUGGUUUCUGAGCCAGCAAAAGCAACUAGAUUAAUCGGAGAAUGACAGCGAUUGGGUGGAUUAUCAAGGAGGAACCAAAUAAAAUUGGCUUUUACAUGCAUCGAUUUUCAACAUUUGGAAUUUCUCCGAUUCUAGUCAACUUUCUUCAUUUCUUUAUAUUUUCCUCGAAUCAAAAUUAUACAGUAAAUAACAGCCGUCACAAAAACAAAAACCAAAAAAAACAAAAAUCUUAAGGCCUUGGGCUUACUAGUCCAAUAUUUUGGCCCAUUAUAAGGACGCAGAACCACGAUCACAUGUCUACGUGUCAAACUGUUACUUAAUUUAUACGUGACAGGCAGUGAAUUUAUCGUUCCCUUCCACAAACACAUUUUCAUUUUUGAGGAAGGAGAAAGAAUCUUCUUCACUGUGUGGUCUAUCAAUCAAUCCAAAGCAACAAUGGCGAUUCGUUGUGUAGCGAGUAGAAAAACCCUAGCCGGCUUGAAGGAGACAUCAUCGAGGCUCUUAGGAUUCAGAGGGGUUCAGACUUUUACGCUUCCUGAUCUUCCUUACGAUUAUGGCGCAUUGGAACCGGCGAUUAGUGGAGAGAUCAUGCAGAUUCAUCACCAGAAGCAUCACCAGGCUUAUGUUACUAAUUACAAUAAUGCUCUUGAGCAGCUGGAUCAGGCUGUGAAUAAAGGAGAUGCUUCCACUGUUGUUAAGUUGCAGAGCGCUAUCAAAUUCAACGGCGGAGGUGUGUGUCUGACUUUUAUUUUUAUUUUCCGAUCUGAUCGAUUGGUUUUUGUUUAGAUGAAAUUUUGUUUGAUCAUAUUUCUAUGAGUUUGAUCGAUUGGUUUGUGUUAGUGUUAAAAAUAAUAAAAUGAAGAUUUAACCCAUAUGUCUAAUAUUGUUAGUGUUAAAAAUAAUAAAAUGAAGAUUUAACCCAUAUUAAAACGGCGGAUUAAUAAUAUUUUAAAUUUUCCAAUCUCGAAUUUAAGAGUUUGAUCGAUUGGUUUGUGUUUAGAUGAAAUUUUGUUUGAUCAUAUUUCUUUAUAUGAGUUUGAUCGAUUGGUUUGUGUUGAUUUAGUUAGAGAAAUUUGCUUUGAACAUAGAAGUUGAUGAUUAAUUUUGAUGACUAUAGUUUGAAAUUAGUAUUGUUGCUUCUUGAGCUCCGAACCAGUUGGUUGAUAGAAGGGAAAUUUCGCAGAGAAACUAUUGGAAAUGAAUUGAGUUUUUUUUUUUGUGGUAGAGAAUGAAAAUUGAUGGAGUGUAUUUUUAUUGUGCAGGUCAUGUCAACCAUUCGAUUUUCUGGAAGAACCUUGCUCCUGUCAAUGUGAGCUUGUGUUUUGGGUUUCUGUGUAUUUCUUUGAUUUCGUUGUUCUGAAAUUAAUGGUUUGUUUUAAUAUAAAACAGGAAGGUGGUGGAGAGCCACCAAAAGGAUCUCUUGGCAGCGCCAUUGAUACUCACUUUGGCUCUCCUGAAGGUCUGGUGAAAAAGAUGAGUGCUGAAGGUGCUGCUGUGCAAGGCUCCGGAUGGGUGGUCUGUACUCUAAUACUCUAAUGUCACCUUUUAAUUUCAUCUGCACACAUUGUUCACUUUGGUGCUUUACUUAUAAUGACCAUGGUCACUGAUUUACUUGUUUCUGUUGAUUGAUUCAGUGGCUCGGACUAGACAAAGAACUGAAGAAGCUUGUGGUUGACACAACUGCCAAUCAGGUAACUUAUCCAUGAUCAGGAAUGCGAUAUUGAAUGUGUUCAAAAGAUUUUAGCGUGGCCGCGUUCUUGAUAUUCAUAAACAUAUGUGAGAUAAAUGGAUUUUAAAGAAAAAGAUUUUGUUUGGGGUGCAGGAUCCAUUGGUGACAAAAGGAGGAAGCUUGGUACCUCUGGUGGGUAUAGAUGUUUGGGAGCACGCCUACUACUUGCAGGUAACAACACUUUUGAUACAUUAAGACUCAUGAGUUAACUUAUAAGAUUAAGCUCUUUAAUCACUCUUUAUUUCUCUCAUCAGUACAAAAAUGUGAGGCCGGAGUAUCUGAAGAAUGUAUGGAAAGUGAUCAACUGGAAAUAUGCAAGCGAGGUUUAUGAGAAGGAAUGCAACUGAAUCGUUACACGAUGACAUAAGGAGAGGAACCAGUUCCAGCUCGGCUUUGUUUUUAAGGUUGUCUGAAACAAACAUACAAUGUCUCUUCUUUGGUUUUUGAGUUUUACUCAACUGAGUUGUGUGGUACGUUGUUUUACAAUAAAAGAUUUCCAAGAAUAACUGUUAUGUUUGUUAGAAAGCUAUUGUUUCUUCUAUUAAGAAAACAAAACGGAGUCCCAAGUCCUUACAAUCUUAUUGGUUUAAUUACAUCAUUUCAAUAAACAAUCACUAAUUUCUUCGUUUUAAUUAUUCGACCCAUAUAUGACAGGGAUAUUAUAACGACGAAAUUUGAGAAAUAAUGCCAUACACUAGUGUAAUAAAAAUGCACUAUCUUGUGUCUGCGACAGACUCUGCGUUGUGGAAAAUGGAUCAUGGUCAAGAGGUCUCAUAAAACACGCGUCAAUUCAAUUUACAUAUUUUGGACUAACUUUUGAUCCCUUACGCCUUGGCCCCUAUAAUUUUAGCUCUUUCUUGGAAGUUACCCCAAAACAAAAACAAUGUCAAUUUCAAUGGUAGCCUUGACAACUUUUAUGCGUUUUAACUUAAAGACUUUCGUAGUCAUAAAACUGAUAAAUAAUCAUAGGAAUUAGUAAAACUGAUUAACAUUUAUCAAACAAAUAUUGAUAAUCUGAUUUUUGAUCAUUUCGAUUAAAAAUGACCAAAUAAAAUCCUAAUUUUUCGUAAACUACUAGAGUAAUUUUCUGUAAUACAUGUAACAUUUACAACAAUCUCUAUAUGAAAAUGAAAAAUCAAAGAAUCUCUAAAGGACAAAAAAAAGUAAGAAUUAGGACAGAAAACUCGACAAAGAACAGUUCUAAGUCUUGACGUCGUUAGUUUUCUUGCUGGGCCCAGACCCCGGACGAUUCCCUUUCGGAAGAGCAUUCAACACCAAGGAGCCGAACUUUCCGGCGACAACUUCAGGAACAAAAGAAGAGUAUUCCGUCUUCGUCUCCUGCUCCUCCGCAACCCACCGCCGUCGACUUAGAAACAGGAGGUAUCUCUCCGGAGAAUACGACGUCAUCAAUGACCGGAAGAAACUCUCCGGGUAAGAUCCUGGCCGUCGAUAGAGAGACGGAAAUGAAAAGAAGAAUGAUCAAAAGUAAAGAUCUGUAAAUCGCCAUUCGUAAAAGUCUUUUUGUUGCGGACUUUUUCUUGUUUUUGGAAUUAGUGAAGAAGUGGGUGAAGAUAAAAGAGAGAGUGUAUAGAAAUAUAUAUACGGAGUUUGUGAAGGUGAGAAGAAAGGUCAACGGGAGUUGGAAAACUUACGCGGCAAGUGUCGGACUUGAAAAAAUAGAGAGUUGAAUAAAUCGGUCCUUUCCAUUGAGUCCAACUAAAAUAUCAUUUUAUUUGUAACGAGUUACAAUUUUAGUUUUGUUUUUAAAAUUUCUAAACGUGUGUGGUAAGCUAAAAAAAAACAUUAAAAAAAUACAAGAUUCGGUUAGUGUAUAAUACUGUAAUGCAUAUUUUCUAUUCGUUUGUUAUUCUACCAUUAAUUUUCUGUUUUACGACUCUGCUAAUUCAAUGUUUACUUACUAAAAAACACAAAAUAAUACAAAUGCUUACUAUAUUGACGGUUUUUUUUAAAUGAUUUUUCCAACUUUUAUAUAUUUAAUUUUUUACAAAUUAUAUUUUACAAUAUGUUUUCUUAUUAGUUGUAUUCAUUUUAUUUAAUGGUGUUUUAUGUAAAAAUGAUAAACUAAAAAAAAAUUAUGUUUUAUAUUUAUGUGUAAAAACCUUAAAUAUCACUUAAGAUGAUACAUUAGGAGUAUAUGCUUACCAUAUUAAAUAUUUUUUUGAUAUAUAAAAUUAUGAAUUUAUUUUUAAGUUAACUUUCUGCUCCUUUUUUCCUUUUUUAUGUGCAAGUUAACUUUCUGCUUUUCACAAUCAACAAAGAUGCUAUAUUACAAAUAGGGUUUAAUGUUUUAUUUAUAUUAAAAUAAAAUAUUACAAAACAAAGAGUGAAAGAGACCAUUGAGAAACAGAAAACGUUUAUAGAUGAGUCGGAAAUAUGAUACCCAUUUAUUAUUGUGCUUAUUUUGUUUUGUCAAACUUAUUGUGCUGAAAUUGAUAGAUUAUUUUAUAGAGUAUGAUAAUGUAUUACAUAAGGACAUUUUGAAUAACAUUCACGAGUUUCAUCAUCAACUAUACUAUUAACAAGAACAUUAAACAGGUAUGCAACUAUUGCAUCUAUUUUGAAAAGUUUGUGUAUUUUGUUGUGUGGAUCAACAAACUAUAUAUACAAACAUUUUCAUGAAACUAAAAACAUUAGUAAUAAGGGAAAAAGCUGAACAAAACAUUUUCUUCAAUACCAAUUUGUUCAAAUAAAUGAAUGUACUACAUAUCAAAUAAAAAAAAAAAAAAAGAAGAUCACCAAAAGCCGAAGCCCACCGUCACUUUUUAAGUCAUUAAUGGAGUUUCCAACUGCUACCAACAAAAGACGAAGCCCACCGUCACUUUUGACCGUGUCCUUCUUCUUGUUCCCCAAGUCUCUCCCAACACGCUCACACUCUCACCGUCUCACGCACCAAAUACAGACAUACACAUGCUUUUACACUUAUAUUAACGUGUGUGUGAAUAUAUAACUUUUGUCUCUUUAAUUAGAUGAGCCAAAUUUUCAACAUUCGUUUGUAGAUAACACGAAUGUCAUUUAUUAGAUGUUGCGGUGCAACUUUAUGGUUGCUCAUGAGAGUUGAAAACAUGACUUUUAUGCAUAGAAAGCGGGACAUAUUUUCUUCUUGUUUAAGCCUAAAGGUAAAGAAAAAGCAGAGUUUAUAUAGUCUUGAUAGAUUCUCUAAAUUUUUAUGGGGUCGUUCGAAAACACAUUGACCAUAGGCCAAGAAUAUUGGAACAUUUACAUGAGCUAAGUGCUUUUCUUAUGAAAAAUCUCCCUAGAUCCGAUCACCAAUUCUGAUGAAAACCAAAGCCAAGUGUUGUGUUGACUCGUGCCAUCACUUUACCGAAUAACAAAACAGUGAAAUACUUCAUCUAAGUGCAUGUAUAUAGACUUGUAGACAUUGACAAGAAGAACCACAGGGUUCAUUACAACAAGGUGGAUUAAUACGCAGAAGAGGUUUUGUAGUCAUCAGUAGCUUUAGAAUAUACAGAAGUCUAGAUUUUAUUCGAAAUUAUACAUAUAUAUGCUAUACUGAUUUUCAGGUUCCACGGAGGGCCCGAACACGUUCUUGAAUCAACUUCCUUUCCCAAUCGGCAAUGUCCUCGAAUGCGUUCUCAGGGAGACUCUCAAAGGGCUCUUUCCAGGGAUCGUUCUUAGCCAGAUCAUAUGUUGCGCCGCGGAUGGCUCCUUUGUUAGGCCCACAUGGACGCUUUGAUACCAAAUUGUCAUAAGCCGUGUUAAGCUGUUCGAAGCACAGAAUCAGAACGCAAAAAAAGUUUGAAACUUUCUUGUAGUGAAGUUGAGUGAGACUUUUUAACUUACGUUCAUGUCGCAGAACCAAUACAUAUAAGCAAUCGAAACCCCUGGAGCUCUUCCCAGUCCGGCUGAACAAUGCACGUAGACUCUUCCUUUACCUUCUGAAACCGCCCAUUCCAAAGAAGAAACAGCUUUUGGAAGUUGGCUUCUCAACGAAAGUGGAUCGAAAUCUUUAGCCUAACAGAUUUGUAAACAAGAAAUCCACAAUUGAUUAAAAUCUCAGCUCCACAUGAUUCCACAGAUUGACAACACAAGAAAUGUUCCUUACGGGCCUUCUCAUGUGACGGAUUCCAAGCUCCUUAGAUCUUCGAACAAUGGAAUCCAAAUCGAUUCCCCAAUAGUCAAUGUCCUUGUCCUGCUGCAAGUUAAGUAUGUAAGCAACAUUCUGUUCCUGCUUCAAGUGAUCUAUGUCCUCAGGUUUCUGUGGCUGCGACCCAACGAUAAGUUCAUCUCUUAUCAAUGUAUAGUUCAUACCUGAAAACAGGACAAAGACUCAUCAUAUACAACCUUAGAUCCACAAGAAACACUAAAUCCUUGCAACACAGUCAUCAAUUUUCAUAAAUCUAUCUCUGUCCAUGAUUGUUCAUCCAAUGUGUUACCCAAAAUUCACUGUCAUAGAUGCUUUUAGCUUCAAACAAAAAAACUAAAAUCUUGUAUCAAUUUUCAUAAAUCUAUCUCCAAGUUCAAGAAACCAUAGCUUCCAGAGUUCUUGGAACUCAAACAACUAGACUCAGCUUCCAUGAGAACACUCUCUCAGUUCUAAUCUAAUCAGAGAACAAUAUUCUAAAAGGAAUUUCAUGCACAAUUUUUGAAAAAAUGUAAAUACCCAGAUCAUGAUGAUAUUCAUAAGGGCUCCUCAUCAAUCUCUUCAUAGCUGUAUUGUAAUCCUCCAUUUUGUUCUUGGAGCUAAGAGAAACCCCAUUUGUUCUUGGAUUUUCUCCAGAGAUUUUGCAGGAAACUCCCGCCAGAUUUCUGGGAAAUCUCAGAUCAAUUGACGAUUUCUUGUUGAUAGAAGUGAAGCAAGAAGAAAUCUCAUUUCCUCGGGAAUAUAUAGUCACCGAGAAAAUACAGCUUUUGGUUCCAAUCACACUCAUCGUCCUCUUGCUCUCUCUAUCUCUCGUUCUUGAAAUCUGCAAUUUGCAAUAAUUAUGUCACACAAACGAAAACGACACUGUCUUAUUGGGCUUUUAUUAAAUGGGCUUUAAAACAAUAAAUUAUGGCCCAUUAGUAUAACCCUAAUUCACUUAAAUAAAAGUUAAUCCCCUGUACUUAUCGUAACGAGCAAAGCCUAGAGAUCCUUCUUCUUCGCCGGAACUGGUACGUCGUCUGCUUUCCCCAAUAAGCCGGCGAAAAUGGUGAGUUAAUAUUCUUUUCAUGUCUCUGAAUUGAAUCUCUCCAGUUUGAAAACAUAUUUUUCAUUACUCUAGACCAUUAGAUAGAGAGAUUUUUAUGUGAUUCUAUCUAUCUAUUUGGAUGUAGUGAUUAAUUGAACUUUCAUUGCUAGAUUUUGUAGAGAUUGUUCUAUCACCUGGGAAUCUUGUUUCAUUUCUAUAGUCUGAGCUUGUUUUAGAUUGUUUCGUUCUUUCAACUUAUCUUCUUCUUCUUUUUUUUUGGAUUUCAGACCAAGAGAACGAAGAAGGCUGGAAUCGUCGGCAAAUAUGGUGAGUAUUCAGAAACCAAUCCUUGGUUAUAGUUUAAAGUAUGUAACUUUAGAAUUCUCUUGAUUCAUAGGUUGAAACCUUGUUUCCUUGGUCAGAAGAAUUCGUUUCAGAUCAUGAACAGAGAAGUGAAAUAUCUCUAACAUAUAGAUUUACUGAAUUCUCAAUCUGAAUCUUUUGAUUUUGUGCCUUUGCAAAGGUACACGAUAUGGUGCCAGUCUUAGGAAGCAGAUCAAGAAGAUGGAAGUGAGUCAACACAGCAAUUACUUCUGCGAGUUUUGCGGCAAGGUAACUCUCAUUGCCAUCUCUUAAGUAAAUUAUUGUCAUUGAAUUCAAUACGGCUUUAAGUCUGCGAAGCUUCUUUGAGUUUUGCAUUUUGUGAAAAGAAGUUUUGGUUAUGUUGAUUUCUGAUGCAGUACGCCGUUAAGAGGAAAGCUGUUGGCAUUUGGGGUUGCAAAGAUUGCGGGAAAGUGAAAGCAGGCGGUGCAUACACUAUGAACACGGCUAGUGCUGUGACAGUUAGGAGUACCAUUAGGCGUUUGAGAGAGCAAACCGAGAGCUAGAUCGGAAAAAAAUCAUAACGGCCAUCACUGAGAAGUCAUUUUUGUUCGAUCAAAUACUGAGUUCCAUAGGCUUUUUCUUUUGUUACUUUCUUGAUUCAUAUUAACUAAGAGAAGAAGAGAAGUGUCCUAUUUGACUCCUUUUUGUUUCUAUAUUGAACCUUUCAAUUCCUAUUCAAUAUGAAGUCAAAUUCAAAAACUAAGCUCAAGUGCACCUUUACCAUUGUCAAUGUACUCGAGAUACAGGUUUCUACAGUUUUCUUUAUUUUCUCCCCAACAUUUUUACACUUUUCCUUUUCAAAAAAUCUACAGGAGCAACAAAUCAAUAAUGCAAUCACUUGUCCUUUCUUCCUAGGAAAGAAAUCAAAAAAAUCAAUAGUAACAAAAAUGUAAAAUCAAAUCAAAGAAAAAUAUCUAAACGUUAGUAUCAAUCUCACUAGCUUUGACAACUCCAUUAUUAUCCUCUUCCUCUUCUUCUUCUUCAACUUUCUUUUUCAAAAACCCUAAUUUCACCAAUCCUUCUUCUCCCCAAUCCCAUAGAUGCAACACCACGUAGCUCCCAAUCCCUCCGAUCAAUCCAUACGCGACGGAGUACGUCAACGGCAUUAGAAUCAUUGUCACGAAUGCCGGAAUCGCCUCUCUCAUAUCUUCCCAAUUGAUCUCCGUCACUGAUUUCAUCAUCAUCACUCCAACUAAUAUCAACGGCGGACCAACCGCCCAAGCCGGAAUCGAAGCUAGCAACGGCGUGAAAAACAUCGCUAAGAAGAAAUAAACCGCCACCGUAAUCGCAGUCAAUCCCGUUCUUCCUCCUUCACGUAUCCCCGUUGACGAUUCGAUGAAAACCGUCACUGGAGAUGUACCAAGCAACGAUCCGAUCACAAUCGCAGACGCGUCGGACAUAAACGCGAAAUACUGUCCGGCGAAAUCUCCUUUCUCGUCGACGAAUCCGGCGAAUCUAGCCAUGGAAUAAAGCGUUCCCGUCGUAUCCAAAAUAUCAACGUAGAGGAAUGUCACCAGAGCUUCCCAGAAAUGUCCUUUGUUUAUCCCGGAGAAGCUUAAAGCUCCGGCGGUGUGUUUGAUGACGUGUACAUCAACGAUCUUUUUGAAAUAAUCAUGAGCUGCGUCACCGGCCGAUGUGUUUGGAAACGCCGUUACCUCUGUGUUACGGAACCACGAAACGGCCGUUACGAAGACGAUCCCGUAGAUCAUCGCUCCUUUCACGUUCUUCACCAAACAAUAAGCUAUGAUCACGAAUCCGACGAUACCAAGCCAAAACGUUGGACUCUCCAUUCGUCCGUGAAGACACAUAAUAUCGCCGGAAACUGAUCCUCCGACGAGUAAACUAACGGUUCCGUUAGCUGACGUUAUAACGGGAGCUAAUGAUAUUCGUGAUGAGGUUGGACAAGCGGCGAGAGUGACGAGUGUUGAAGGACUAUAACCGACUAAACCGAUUCCUUGAUUGUUCUGUAAACCGAUGAAAGCGAGGAAAAGUCCGAUUCCGGCGGAGGAACUGAUUCUGACCGGUUUAGGAACGAGUUUCGCGAGCUUUGCUCUGAAACCUAUGGCGGAGAUGAAGAGAAAGAUCAAUCCUUCGAUGAAAACGGCGGCGAGUGCGGUCCGGUAUGAGAUUGAACCGGAUCCGUGAAAUCCGACGACGGUGUAAGCGAAAUAAGCGUUAGUUCCCAUUCCCGGAGCUAAAGCUAGAGGAAGAUUCGCCAUCAAUCCCAUGAUUACACAACCGAUUAGUGACGCAGCUACGGUGGCGACGAUUAGAUCCUUUCGAAUUCCUUCAACACAUGUGGCGUAACCGGGAUUAACCGGGUUGAAUUUACAGGAAACGUCGGGUUGGAUCAAUCGGAGACCCGGUCCGGUACACUGAGAAGGUUGAAUCGUUGGGUUUGAGCAGAGAGGGAUACAAUCGGAAACAGAGCAAGUUCCACCGGAAUCAGAGAGGAUUGAAGCGUUGACGGCGAGGAUAUAAGCCAUGGUUAAGAAAGUAGCCGUACCAGCACGGAGCUCCGUCGUGAAAGUAGAAUUACGUUCGGCGAGUUUGAACCGUUUGCCAACCCGGCUCGAACCGACGUAGGUGUUGAGCCGGUUUAGUAGCUUGGGCUUGGGUCUAGUAGUAGUAGAAGGUAGUUGUUGUUGUUGCUCCAUUAGAGAGAUCACAGAAGUAAAAGAAAAAUACAAAGUUUUUUUUUAUUUUUUUGGUUACUGGUUUUGUAAUCUAGUGAAGAGAACAGAUUUGCUUAUAUAUAUAUAUAAGCAGCUAUAGAGAUGGUUAAGGGAGCUUUUGAUAUGAUUAGAGAAAGAGGAAAAGAUUCUGGUUAAGAGGAAUGGGAUCUUUAGAGACAAGUAUCUCACAUGUAACCAUGUGUCCACGAUUCUCAGUUUUAUUUGUUUUUAUUUUUGUUACAGGUUUGUAAUAUAAUCUCUGGUCAGAAUUAUUAUAAUUAUAUCUCAUGUAUUCACACGUCUAUUAAGGCAAGACUAUUUUAGACGUUUUUUAUUAAGAUUUCAUAGUUUUAAAUCUUCGAUUAUUAAGUACUGUAGCUUUGUUGUAUAAUAUUAUGAAAUUAUUCAAUGUAGAUUUUUUGUAUUUUGUUCGUAUGUUAAUUAACUAUACAUAUCACAUAUGCAUCAUGAUAUUACUUGUUUAUUAUGAAUUUAUGAUUAUGGUGUGUAUGAAUAUGUAUGUGGCAACUACAAGCAAUUGCGGCCAACAAGGUCACGUUACAAAGUUGGCUACAAAAUACAAAUGUGAACAACUCUUAACUAACAUCUAUUAUAUAUUUGACCGAUUGACUUUUGACCUAUCAAAAACUGUUUUUUUUUUCUUUUUUGGUUAAAUCUAAUUUUCUAGAUAGACGUCACAUUAUUCUGAGUUUUUUAGGAUAUAACUUCGCAAAACUAACUUUGUUUGAUAUUUUUGCAAGCUGAUUUUCGUUUGCAAAUUGAAAGUUUGUUUUCGGAGAAAUUAGAGUGUUCAAAGGCAUUACGGCUUACAACGAUUUUUUUUGACGUAAUGACAUGAUCAUAAAAUUGUAUCAUAGGAGAUGAUAAUUUCCUUUUUUAAAUGGAUCAUCGUUUGAGUCAUUUUGAACUCAAUUUGUUGGUGGGGAAGUCAAAGAUAUCGGUUUGACUACAAUAUCGAGUAAGUUGGUUUAUUUAAUCGUAUCUUAUUAGAAAAUCUCAUUAAACUACACUAAAACAUUUGGUAAAUCACAGGAAAUACUAAACUAAAAGAUUACCAACUCAUUUUUGUAAUAAAAACAAUUACCGGAUUUUUAAAACCAAAAUCCGGCCACUAAGUCUAAAGUCGAUAACAUACUGUAGUAAAUUCUUACUAGUAAUCACUAUUUUUAAAUAAUUUUAUUGUAUGCUUCGAUAUAAUAUUCCUUAACAUAAUCUAAGUAGACGUCACGUCACAUUGAUCAAAAUAUACAGAAUUCAUUCAUUUUCUUCAACAGCACGUGGACAUAAAUAAAUCUGAAGAAAAUUACUCUUUCCAAUUUCUUGAUAACAAAAUGUUUUAGUACUGCCAAUAAAUGAUAUUUUCGCCCGAUCUAUUAUAGUCUUAUCAACAAAUGGUAUUUGAUACGUAAGGCAAAAAUAACUAUACAUAAGAGAAUCAAUCAUCUGUUUAUGUGUAGUUAUUUUGCUCCGAUAUGAAGUAGGUAGAGUUAGGGCCUGACUGGUUUAAAAGCAGCGGUUGCGGUUGCGGUUGCGGGAGUUUGCAGAAGUGGGCGGUUGCGGCUUUAAGCGUUAUCAAGCGUUUUGAACGACUGGUUUAGCGUUUAAAAAUAGGUGCGUUUGCGGGAGUUUUAUGACUGGUAACCCAGCGGAUGCGAUAGCAGUUAAAUAAAAAAAUGACCAAAAUAAAUAAGAAAUAUUACAAAAAAAAAGAAAUAAAAACACCAAUAUAUUAUUAUGAUAAUAUUAGAAAAAUUGAACAUGCUUAAUAAUUAAAACCAUAAAUAAAGUACUAAAUAAUUAUUCAAAAAUAAAGAAAUUUUGUAAUAAGAUAGUACUUUAUGCAUCUGGUUUAACAUCAAAAAUUGCAUCAAGUAAUGGGACAACCUAAAAAAAAAUGACCAAAAUAAAUAAGAAAUAUUACAAAAAAACACCAAUAUAUUAUUAUGAUAAUAUUAGAAAAUUUGAACAUGCUUAAUAAUUAAAACCAUAAAUAAAGUACUAAAUAAUUAUUCAAAAAUAAAAAAAAUUGUAAUAAGAUAGUACUUUAUGCAUCUGGUUUAACAUCAAAAAUUGCAUCAAGUAAUGGGACAAACUGUAAAUAACGUUGAAUUCAAUCAAAAAGCAAGUGAGUUUCUAUUUGAAAAAACAAAUCGAAACAUAUAUUCAAUCAAAAAGCAAAGCAAUACGUAAUGAAAAUAAAAAAAACGAUGUCAUGAAAAAUAUUCAAAAAGUUACACAUGAGGUGAUGAAUGAAUAAAAGGAUAUAUGAUAUUUACAUUUGAUUAUUGAUUUUCAUCAGUUUGGGUGGAAGACAUUGAGAGAACAGAGUUUCAGAAUAUUAUUAGGGUUUCUGAUGAGAACGUGAUACAAAGAUGAAAGAUAUAUAUAUAGGAUUAAUAUAUAUUAUAAUAAUUAUAAGUAAAUGUUUGAUUUUUUUUUUUAAUCCAACCGCUACCGCCCGCAACCGCAAACGCUUGCGGGAAGAAGCUUUUGAAAUUCAGCGAUUUCGAGCGGUUCGAAGCGGGACAGAGCGGUUUCUAUGAUUGGUACCAACCGCUAAUAACCGCAACCAACCGCUAAUAACCGCAACCAACCGCUAACAACCGCUAGAAGGGUGCUAGCGGGAGAACCAAUCAAGCCCUUAAUCCUACAAUUUUUGAAAAGUUCAUGAAUAAUUGGUAAGCUGAUAUAUACAUUUUUAACGAGACAAAAAACCAAUGUAGAUUUGGACGUAAGAUAUCUUUAGGGGACCAUCCAUUUAUAUGUGUGUUGUUACUAGCGCCAUGCUAUUUAUUGCUUGGGUCUCACUAUCAACUUACAAGUUACAACGUAACACAGAUUGAUAUCAAUUUGUUUUAUUAGACCGCAAUAAUUAUUUCCUAGAUCUACAAUGUACUAUAAAUGAUGAAGGAUUAACCGAAGAUGAAAUAGUAGUAAGAGUAUUAGACUUGUAGUCGUCGUUGUGUGACUUUAUAUUUGUAUAAGAUGUUCAUAAUUUCAACCGCACGAUAUAUAUCAACUAAAAAAAAAAAAACUAAGAAGAUGGCGUGUGCAUGAGAAGUGUGCAGAAAUAUUAUGUCUCGCUACAUCGUGAAGUAAAAGGAAAUGAACACAAAGUGUGUCUCACUACAUCGUGAAGUAAACGAAGAGAAAGAUUCAUCAAUAUGAGUGAAUACAUGACUGAGAUAUACAUAGUAUUAGUGAAGUAAAGUCUCAUAUCGAAAAUAAGAGAAGUCAUCAAAUAAUAUAUAAAAAGUUAGGACUAAUCUAUUUAUUACCAAUUAGUUUUGAAUUAGAAACUCAUGUCAAACCUAAAUUUAUCACAUAGAUGUCCUAAAUCAUGUGUUAUCAUGAUCUUGUUUUAAUCUCUUUCACAAGUUGGAAUCUUAUUGCAACUCAUAUAGAGACUUGUUAUAGAACUAGGAUAUGACCCGCGGUACACCGCGGGUUAAUUAUUUGAUUUUUUUAUUUUUAUAAAUUGAUGAAUUUAUUGUGUAUAAUAUUUUUUGUUGUAUACCGCGGGUCACAUGCGUUGUAUCUAAAAUAAAAAAUUGAAGUUGUAUUUGUUUUGUUCAGUGUUUAAGAUUGUAUAAUUGUAUUUUGAUUUGUUAUUUAUAGGAUUUCACCUGUGGUAUAUUGUCUCGUAUUAAUAUUGAUCCAAACCCGUCCAACCAUAUAAUCUAAAAUAAAAUUAAACAUCAUUUUGUUAUUUUUUUAAUAACACUUUUAUUUAAAUGUCAUAUAAUUCGAGUUAAUUUGAAAGUUGCUUUCAAAUAGUUUCCAUGUAUAUUUUUAAAUUAGUGUGUGUUUUUAGACCAACCCGUAAAAACAAUUUAUAAUUGUAUCUUAAAAUACUAAUUAGGAUUUCACCCGUGAUAUACUGUCCCAUUUUAAAUAAUUGUAAAAAUUAAAGAAAGAUCCGAAUAACUCAAUUUCGGGUCUGAAUAAAAUAACGACAUGAUUAAAUGCUCAAUUUGUUCUUAAAAAUGUUAAUAUAGAUUACACACAUAUUUUUAUUCAUCGAUUGAGUAAUAUAUGUCCGUUUUAAAAAAUUUGAAUUGUAACAUAUGCAGAAAAAAAAAAAACUAAAAUUUACUAACUAUUUAUAUAUUUUAUAAUAAUUUAAAAUAAUAUAAAUAUAAGAUCAAAUAAAAGUGAAAUAAGAAUCAUAUAUUUAUGUUUAAAUUAGGUAGAGAGGUUUUAGGAAAUUAGUGCAAAUUUGUUAUAUUAGCAUUAAAUCAUCAUAUUUGAUUUAUUUAUCUAUAAAAAUCGUGGAGAAUAUACCAUAAAUAAAGCGUUUAAAUAUAGUAAUUAGUUGAGAAAGUAUAUAUAUAUUUUAGAUUUUAUUAAUUAUUUUCGUUUUUUAAUUUUGCCAAAAUUUAAGGAAAGAUCCGAUUGAAGAUUUCCGGGUCAAAAUUAAACAAAUUUGACCCGAUUUGAGUACCCCAAAAACUGCUGCAAAAAUGUAUAGUAGAUAUUUUUGAAUAGUCGUUCUACCAUCCAUUCCAAAUAUUUUAAAAUAUUUAUGUUAAUAUUUUUAGUUAAAAUACAAAUUAAUAAAAAAAACAAAAAAAAAAAAAACAAGAAUUAAAAUAGUACUGUUUGGUUUGUAAAUUAAUAGUGUCAAUUAAUUAUUGGAAAAUAGAUUGGUGGUGGCCGACUUCACGUGAGGAGAUGCCCUCAUUGGACAGUCAUUUUGCUUUUGAGUAAUAAAUUUGCAAUUAAUAAAUGCAUUUCACCCACUUGACAAUAAUUUCGUUUAUGUUUUUUUAGUAAAAGUUCAAACAUAUUUAUGUUUCUCGAUCAUAGUCCAACGGCUCCACCUUGUAUGAUUUUAUCUCGUCCACAUAACUAAAGGUUGGUGUUUCUAGAUAAUCGAUCUUGUACUAGUUGGAGUAUUAAAUCUCCAAUACCUUUCUAACGAGUUAUGGCUCUUUAAAUAGCAUGCACCAAUAUUUUUUAUUUUUAAUGAACUAAAGCUAUUUCUGUAAAAAUUAUCAAAAAGACAGAAUAUCGUAAUCCGGAACCAAAAGACCAUCAAGCUCGCGCAUAUAGCGAGCAGGACGUUUGAUCAUUCCUUGUGGAUUAGAAUCAUUCUUUAUAGACAUUGAUGUACUAAGACACUAAAGAUAUAUAUAUAUAUAGAUAUAUAUAUAUAUAUAUAUAUAUAUAUAAGAGAUAUAUGUGUAAGUGAUAGUCAGUGUUAAUAUUAUUCUAAAAGUCGAUUCCUCAUAGUCGAAUUUAUAGCCAUGUAUAUCAUUUACCUAUCAAUGCUGUCAAAAAAAAAAAAAAAACCAUCAAUAUCUUUCUACCAUUUUGUCUCUAAUUGGUUAUUUGGUGUAAUGUUUUAGCGGUUAAUUGGCAACUAAUGCCGUUAAAACACUAAUUGAUGAUUCCUAUAUUUAUAAAAAGUUAUUUUAAAUGCUUACAUAUUAAAAUUCCAAAGCAAAACAUUAAUAACCGACCAUCACGACUUAACAUAGAGUUUAGGUCGGUAAAAGGAACACAAUUCGACAUGUUUCCACUUUGUUGUAUCCAACUUACACAUAUAAAUUUAUUUUCGUUCGGUUCAUUUUCUAUUGGACAAGUCACAAAUAGAUCUUAAAUUAGUGGGUCCUCCGCAAAAAAAUCAUGAAGCAUAAUAUUUUCUUUGAAGCAUUAUCGUUUUUUAGAAACAUUAUACAUUCAAAAAUAUAUAAACGAAAUAUGAAAUAUAAAGUAUCAUGGGAAAGUAUCGUUCGACCACUCUUUUUGCGCUGUCAGUAUUUUGCUCGUCUCCACAUGAUUUCGACAACCAACAAGGCACUAUCAUAUGAAUCUUCACUUCCUAAUGUUCAUCUAUAGUGUUAUAUUUCUCUUCAAAAUUUCCCUCUCUUUUCUUUGGGUUCUUUAUUAUAGACAAGUCAAAACACAAAGAUUUAUUUCCUUGGUAUCAAUGGUAUGGCAUAUCUUAGAAUUACUGUUGAUAAUUGAUUAUAUUUAACUUUCUACAUACACAACUAUAUUAUCAAAAAUCAAGGUAUUACAUGAUAUAAGAAUCUAUACUAAUAGGACAAAAUGGAAGCUGGUAAGUAAUAGAGAGGAACAAAAGAAAGGGAGCAUAUAUAAUGGAAUUGGGCUCAAAUCAAUCACUUUAGGGGACUUUUCAACAAAUUAAGUCUUCCUACAACAUUUUAUUUGUUUGGUCGUAUCCUCUUAUCGAAAAAAACUUUUAAACGAGAAAGUAAUUAAUUCAAUUACUUGUUUAUUCUCUACUAACUAGAUCAAUUAGCUUAGUGGAUUAAACAUAUAUAUAUAUAUGUAUACUCAUUCAAUUUAACACACAUAAAAAAACUCACAAGUUAAGCAGCUAAUGUUUCAUGCAAUUAUAUGUACAACAAUGCACAAGCACAAUUUGUAGGAAACAACACAUAUUAUCCUAUGAUUAGAUUCAGUGGAUUUGGGGAGUUAAAUCAUGCGUGUGUGUGAAUAUAAUUUUGAAACGUAAGAUAAGAUGCAGUGGAUUUAUGGAAAUUAAGAAAGUUUAAUCAGUGGAGGGUUUUGAACUUUCUAAUGAUGGAGUUGGCCAAACCAAAGUGAUUAGUGGCGAAGUGUUGGCCUCUACUUUUUUCCCCUCUUGUGUUUCAACUUUCUUCUUUUCUAAAACCCACUAAAAAUUCAUUAAAUACAUUAAAUUUUCAUUUGUCACUUGUUAAUCAUUAGUAUUUUAGUGAAUAUUUUAAACAAGCAAUGAUACAUACAACUAUUUUAGAAGACUUUUAGCCACACCAUAUUAUUAGAUUCGAAUUUGGUUCGUUGUACUCGGUAGCUUACGGCUAAAACAAAAUUAUGUUUUAAAAGAUUGGAUGAAUCGACUGUAAGAAGUUUGAUAAAAAAAAAAAAAAAAAAAAAAUCGACUGUAAGAAAAUACUACUUUUCAGGAUUUCGAAAAUAAUCUGUUGUAGACUUUUUGAUCCAUUUUUUCUAAAGUGUGUAGGCAAUUACACAAGCAAACAUCUUGUCCUCUUGUGUGUUAGUUGGAUUAUUUGACUUAACCAAAGAUCUCUCUUUCUUUGAAAAGUAUAUGUGAAGAUUAUGUAUUUUCUAUAUGAAACCUAUAUAUAGGGUUUAAACAAACACAAUGGAUCAAACUCUUAUCAAAAACAUAUAUAGGUUUUCUUUACUUUUUAAGGGUUCAUCACAGUAAUUCGUUAGGAUGUUAUUCAUCUUCAUAUUAUUUCAUCCAAAUACACAACUCUAAAAUUUAUACGAAUUUCGGUGUAUAACUAAGUAUUUAUCUACUUCUGUAUUAUGCUAGUUUAUAUAUUAGUAUAAAGUAUGACAAAUAAAGGGGAAAAAGCUAACUAAUUGUUAAAAUAAAAAAUGUGCAGCAUUUUAAAUUAUUUAUUUAUACCAAUGUUUUGGUUAUUUUCCUCAUUAUCCUCUGUGUCAAAAUCAACAUUUUGCUGGCUGGGGAGAAGUGGACCCCUUUUUGUUAUGUUUUUUUUUUUUUUGUGCAAAUUCGUUUAGAAGUCGCAUUACAAUCACACACCCAUUUAAUUCAUAUGAAAGAUAAAUAAAAGCGCUCUGAUCCAAUUGGAUGAGUACAAAUAUCAAAUUCUUAUGUCCUAACUUUCUUAUUUGCAUCUCCUUUUCACUUCCUUUAUUCUGUGAUCGUAUAUUAUCACUACGUACUAACGUGUCAUUAACCUGUUAUAAUUUUAAUUAGUUUCGUUAAUUGUUCUAGGAAACCACUAUUCAAUAUUGAAAUGUUCAUAUUGUCGGAUGAGGACUUGGAUACUAAUAUCCACAAAUAAAUUUUUUUAUCAUAUGGAAUAUUUGUUUUUAAUCAGUGGAUCACUUUAGGGUGAGGAACGAAGUUACUUGUCAAAAAGUUGUCAUGACACAAGGCUUUUACAAUUUGUACAAAACUAUGGAUGCCUGAUUCGAAUUAGUGUAACAAAAGCUAAACUUAUAUUCCAACCAAAAUCAAAACCAAUUUCAUUGGACUAGUUAUGUUCGAACCUUUAUUCAAUGCAUAAAAAACAAAAAUUACAAGAAAGCCUAAUAGCUGGCUAAUGACAUUGGGAAAUCUAAUCAUUACAAGUUUAAGUUAUGCACAAUGGAACAAAGAAUAAGUCUCUCAAAGAACAUUCUGAUUAUGAUUAGGACAAACAUAAAAAGAGACCCCACUUUUCUUUAUCUUUUCAAAAAUCCCCACCCAAUAACAUGUCGAAAUGAAGUUGAAUACAUUCAUUAGAUUAAUAACUAAAAUUACAGGAGAGAUACUUUAUAAAAGUUUUGUGAUUUAUGCGAUUCUGUAGAGUACUAUCAAUAGGGCACAUGUCAAUCAAAUUCGCAAAUUGAAUCAAAGGUCCUUUUGUAUUUUACUUGUAAGUUGUAACAAUCAAAUUGCUCCACUUAUCCAUUUCCCAAAAGGAUAACCUCUUUCUUUUAUUCUCUUUUAAAUUCGACCUACAAAUAUAUAUGUAUGCAAUUUCUACAUUAUUGUAGAUUUAGCCAAAGAUUUUUUUUUUUUUUUAAAAAAGAUAUGGUAGUGUUUAUUGUACAUAAAUAAUAGUAACUUAAAUUUUAACUGGCCAUUUUUUUUUUCAUUUUGAUGCCUAUUCCAAAUCUAGUUUCUACUAAUGAUAAAUGACAUGAUUACAAUAUGGGGUUUUAACUUUUAAGGCAUUAUCACUGAAACACUAAUGGGAAAUUUUCAGUUUCACCACAUCGCCUGAACAGUCACUGUUUCAGUUUUGUCUUUUGGGUUCUACUUUAAAGGUAUCUGAUUCGUUUGAACAGCCCACCAUUGAUGCCAUUGUCCGAAGCUCCAAGAAUGUUUCCUUGGGUCCACAAUCCAAUCGCUUUCUCAGCAAAAUCCACACAGUCAAAAAUUUACAAAUGCAACGACCUAGAUCAUUGCUCUUGCACAAACACCCAGGAAAAUGAAGAUAAUAAGCUCCAUAUUUCACUCGAUAGAUCCGGUUUGCAUCUAGUAUCAAACAUAUGUAUAACCAUAAAGACAAGAGCUUAAGAGAUUAUGAACCUAACCUAACUACUAUAUGCUGCGAUCCAAUGUGCUUAGAAUAUGGUAUCAAUGGUUAGCUUUCUUUUCGGCGGCGAUUUUUCUAUGAUCUGUUUCUCGUGAUCCAUAAAUGUACAGCCUUUGUUCGCAAAUAAUCUUCUGAGGUUUAUCACAGAUAGCUCGUAAAAGUUUCCAACUGCAAGAUCAGCCUGAACCAGAUCAUACCUGCAGAUUUGUUUUUGAUAAAGUUAGAUGCCAGAUAUGCUUCUGGUUCCCCAAAAAGAGUAAAAGAGUAAAUUUUCUACUUACGCCCGAUGAGCACCGAUUAAUCCAACUGCCAUCAUUGUACAGUUGUGAGCCGCAGUUAUACCCCUAGGAUCAUCCUCAAACACAACACAUUUCGACGGUUUUCUAUCCAACUGCGCAAAAGUUGUAAAACUUGUCAGCAACGUUUCUCAGAAAUUGACUAGGAUUCGCAUUUGAAUAAAAACGGUACCUUCACAGCCGCAGAAAGAAAUCUGUGAGCUAUCGAUUCCAUACCAUCUUCCUCGGAAACCACUGCCUGAAACAGAGAAUGAAUACAAUCAUCAGCAAGUAUAACUAUUUAUCUGCAAAAAGUAAGAUGACUAUAUAAAGCUACUACUCGCCUGGAAAUACUUUUGAAGUCCCAUCCGGUCAAGAGCAUUGAUCAUGUUUUUUCGAUCAAGAUUUGAGACCACAGCACAGGGAAUGCGAGCAGUUGUAACAGCGUCGAGCCAAUCUCUAAGUCCUUCUUUUGGUUUUGUUAGCUGAAAUACCGAUAGAGACACAAUUUAGGGAACCAAAAACAAAGCGGAUUUGAUUAAUACAAAGAUUGAUACAGAAAGACCAUACUUUGAGAAGACUAUCGUAAUAUAUUUCCGAUAGCCUGAGUUUCAAUCUGUCGAUUUUGCUUUGCGUUUUCUCCCAAUACAAUACCUGAAAUAUUUUGAAAACCAGCAAUUGAAUCCAUUUCCUUAUGUUAUGAAUCGGGUAUACACAUAGAGCUCGUUAUGGCCAACUCCUAAAUCUAAAAAGAAUACAAUGAGAGUAGGGUUGGACUCCACAUUUCAUAUCAAAGAAAAAUGGCAACUGAGAAUGAAUAUCAAACCUUACUAAGAACAUGGUCAGCGCCGGCAUAAAGCAUCAGUCUUUGGAUGUCAACCUCCUCCGUAAUUUCUUUUCCUGCCAAACAAUUUAAUAUAAGAGAGAUGGGUAGUUUAAUAUAAGUAAGACAACAUCAAUUCCUUUGAAGUAUAAUACUACAUACCAGCAAAAGAGCUAACACACGAGAUUAUCUCAAUAGCUCAAUUGAAAAGUUCACAUAAACAAAAAAAGUCAACUCUAUACUGCAAUGAACAUUCAGAGCAAGCUGUAUACCGAUCAAAUUUUUGCACUUGGGUUUACAUGUACAUCUUAAAUUAAAACAAAAUUCCAUUUUUUCCCAUGAAAUAUAUUUUGGGAACUGUAAAUGCAAAAGAAGUUUCUCCUUCUUUUGGGUUUACAGUUUACAAAGGAUUUUUUCUUAAAACAUUAGAGUUUGUGGGUUUAACUUAAGAAAAACACACUAGCAUGACAUCUAAACGUAAAAGAAAACGCAAAACAAACGAUUGAGGCCUCAAAGAAGGUAAUCUAACGUUUGAGUUCAUUGAUAUCGCUGCACACUCUCCCAACAUUCCUUACAAGGGUGCAUGGGCAGCACUAAACAUAUAUGAUCAGGUAGUGCAAGAUAUCUCUGUCCACAAAUAUGUAAGCAAAAAGAAACUAGACUCUAUUUGGGUAAAAACUUUAAGAGCAGGAGGGCCGCACAAUAAAAGCUUACCUUCUUCUGCAGCGAGCUGCUUCCAAGCUUCCAACUUAAGACUUCGAGUAUCAGCCUACAACGUUUGAACCACAAAUGGAAAACUGAGAAAAUCCGACUCUUGAAUCCAAAAUUGGUAAGCACGAUUCUAAAGAAGCAAUUUUAUUCUACAACUUUUGCCAAAUCCGCCCAGCCCUCGUGCCAUACAAGAAGAAAAAGAAAUUGUACCUAAAAUAGACCCAAAACUAGUAUGCAUGGACCACGAAAUUCUAUCCUACAACUUAAGAGAUUUACCAAAUAACAGGACAGCCAUCAUCUAAACAAACAAUAAAACUGAUAUUUAUAAGACAAAUCCUCAUGCCCCACUAGAAGAAGAAGCUAUUAUAUGUAAUCUAUAUAAGCAACAAGAAACUUCAUCAAACUUAACUUGCAAACAUAAAGAUGGUGUCAAAGAAUUACCACGACAUUGUCCCAAGAGAAAAUAAGUCCAUAGGCUUCAUCUGGUUUCAUUGCGUAACGUAUUCUUUGAAGAAAACCAUCUUGUAGUUUCUCAUUCCAGAAAUCCUACUUACAAGCAAAAAAAACAUGUUACCUUACCAAAAGAAUAACCAAAUAAAAGAUUCAUAAGCAUCAGUAGCUCUUACCACAUCCACUUUAAGAGGACCAUCCUGUCUAAAAGUCUCAAAGCCUUCUCCAUACUCAGCUCCAAUCGCCUAAAAUUCAACAAUUCAUCAAUAAAGUCAUCAAAUUUCCACUUCUAAACCACCAGAAACACAGGAAAAUUUACCUCUUGCAUAAAGAGUUUGUUUGGUUUUAGAGGAAACCCAUUAACGUCGCCGUUUUGAUAAUCAGACCCAGAAGAACUUCUCACUACCAACCGCUGCUUCACCAACUUCGUGUCUUUCGGUAUCUGGAAAUUAAAAAAAAAGUCCAGAACUUUAAAAUUGUCCCCCCAUUGAUUUCGAAUCAAAGCUAAAGAAGGAGAUUAAACGAUACUUAUACGAACCUGAAAGCUGAGAUUUUUGGAGAAAUUAGAGUGAGGAAAGCGAAAAGAUGGUUCGGAAGAGAUGAGCAGAGACGAAGGACGAGUACUGCAUGAGCAGUCCAUGAUAAAUUUGAUUAGGGUUUCUUCGGAAUCAGAAACUGAGAAGAUGAUUGAACCGAAGCAUUCGUUUUUGUUUAUUGAAUGAUUUUAGGGUUCGCAGUAGGAACUAUCUAAAAGCCUUUGUUCUGGUUCAUACGUUUGCAGCCAGAGAACGUUGAGAGAGAGAAGGUGAAAGAGAGCAAACUGAAAUUGUUAUCCAGUGGAUCACGCCAUUGAUGCCGUUUAUAUUCUUAGUGUGAGACGUUGCGUCGUUUUUAUGGGUGUAAAACACCACGAAGUCUGCAUCUGGCAAACACUAACCCCUAAAAACAGUGAGAAUUAUGGACUUUGUUGGCUACUAUACAAAUAGGGACGUUAAUGGGCCUAAUAAAUCAAUAUUAAUGGGGUUAAUGGGUUUUGAGAUAUAGAAACAUUAAAACAUAAAAAUUUACAUGUUUUUUCCUAAAAGUUAAAUUUCAUCAAUAUAGAAACCUAAAAAUUUACUACUGUUAAAGAUUUUGAGAUACAAGUGUAUAUAUAGACCAAUUAAAUAAAUAAAUCCAUAUAAGAUUUUUAUAUGAAUUUCUUGAAAAAUCUCCAAUUAUUAAAUGUAUAUUUCCUAGACAUAAACCAUAUAUGUCGCUGAAAUCUGGUAUAUAUGGAAAAGCCGAAAUCAAUAUCAUGUUGUGAAUCCGCAAAAGGUUCCAUGCGCUGAUUGCACUUGGCCAUGUGAUCCUGUUGUAGUUGGUGAAGGUUGUAUAUGUCGUUGCUAAAAUUUUCGUUUAUGUCAAAUAUUCGCCAUAGAUAUUGUGUUUGGACCUUCGAUAAAAUUGAAUAACAAGAAAAUAAUAUUUAUUAUUGAUUACUCGGAGAGGCAGAUAUGAUGAUGAGACCAUGAAUUUCUUUCUCAUAACAACCAGGGCCGAUAACAGGAAGUUAAAGAAAACAAAUGUCUAUCAUCAGUCUAUGGUGUUGCAAUCAACAUUUUUUUUUUGGUGUUGUAAGUACAUCCUAUUAAUAUGGAUAUAUAGUGUGAUAUUGUAUGACAUGCAUGAACUACAACAUAAUGUCUAUCAUAUAGUAUCACACUAAACCACAAACAACUUUACUUGCAAAUUGCUAACACCCAAAAAAAGACUAUGAUAGAUAAGAUGGCUAUACUUCCAUAGAUAUUUGCAUCUAUAAUUUAUAAGAAAAUGUAUUAUCCAUACUCCUGCUCCAUAGGUCAAAUCCAAAACUUGAUAUAGAAACCCUAAAUUAAACACUGGAUGGCUUCGAUUGUGACAUUAUAAUAUAACACAUUAAUGUGCGAGAAUCUUGGUGUAAUCGAUAUCAUUAUAAAUUUAAUGAUAUUUUUCAUUUGCUAAGAGCUAUAGUCUUGGAAGGUGGGAAGACUUUCUUAAUCAAGUAUAUAUAAAUUAGCAAAAAUAGAACCCACAAUGUGAAAAACGUAUUAUUAGUUGUAAGAACAAUACACACUGUAACAGUUUGUCAGUAAAUUAGUAGUAAUAAAUCAAAAUCUGAUACAAUAAUGCUAAUUUUUAUUUAUUUUCAUUUCAUUGAUAAAAACGUAUUGGGACAAUAAUGGCGGCCUGAUCAACGCUAAGUUAACUGCUACCACGAGAAAAAAAAAAGAAUCUGAGACUUGUUCUUCCCCCAACGACCAAUCUUAUGUUCCAUCAAUUUCACACCAGAAGCCUUACCUUUUUGAUUACACGCUUAUUCGUUCUCUUUUUUGAAAAUUCUUAGUCUGAGUAACGCUUCUUUCUAAAUUUUUCUGGGUUUUUCUCUGUUAUUGCAGCUGAAAUCGGAUUUUGGGCAUUUUUUAAAAAUUCGAUUCAACGAGUUUUCCUGUUAAGGGUUUGAUUCCUUUUCUGUUCAUCUUUGUUUAGUCAAAUCUGAAGACUUGUUUGGUUUGGUUCCAAUGUGCUGAGAAGAAGCUUCGUUGGCAAAAGUCGAAUCUUUUCUUCUUUUUUUUUUCUGGGUUUUUAUAUUCUUUGCCAACAAUGUUUAAGCUUGCUAAGCAUAUAUGCCUUUGAGUAGCUGCUGGUUUAUUCCUACAAGAUUUGAUCUUUAAGAGAGAGAAUGGGAUCGAAUUGUGAUGGGAAUUUGAAAGCAGAGAUUGAAGAAUCUAAUGGUUCUUCUGGCAAAAAAACUAGGGUUCCUCCUUGUCCUCUUGAUGUUUCUACAUCUAGAAGAACUUUGAUUGGUCAUGGUAAACCUAGGAGAUGGUCUAUUAGUGCUUUGCCUGAUGCUUCUAGUAGAUUCCAGCUUCUGAAAUUUGGUUCUCCUUCUGCUAAAUUCAAGAAAAUGGCUGAGGAUAGAGACGAGGUUUCCCGGUCAGUGAAGAGCUCAAGUAGCGGCAGCAGUCAUAACUUCAGGGAAAGAAUCAGUGGUGUGCUUCACCGGAAAAUCGAUUGGAGUUCUCUGAUGAAAAUGGGGAAAGAAUGGAUUAGGAAUCCUAUUAACAUGGCUCUCUUUGUGUGGAUACUUGUUGUUGCAGUCUCUGGUGCUAUUCUCUUCAUGGUUAUGACUGGUAUGUUGAAUCAUGCUUUGCCUAAGAAGUCACAGAGAGAUGCUUGGUUUGAAGUUAACAAUCAGAUUCUUAAUGGGUUGUUUACUUUGAUGUGUCUUUAUCAACAUCCCAAACGGUUUUAUCACUUGGUGCUUCUUUGUAGAUGGAAGCAGGAUGAUAUUACAAAGCUUAGGAAAGCUUAUUGCAAGGACGGGACUUAUAAGCCGAAUGAAUGGAUGCACAUUAUGGUUGUUGUCCUUUUGCUUCACUUGAACUGUUUUGCUCAGUACGCGCUUUGUGGUCUUAAUGUUGGAUUCAGGAGAUCAGAGAGACCUCCCAUUGGAGUCGCUAUAUGUAUCUCUGCUGCGAUUGGAGCUCCUGCGGUUGCGGGUUUGUACACUAUACUAAGUCCACUUGGGAAAGAUUAUGAUGAUUCAAAUGAAGACGAGGAGAAUCAACUGCAGCAACGUGAAGAAGGGUCUGUGAAUCGCCGGUUUACUUUAGAGAGGAGGUAUUCGUUUGCUUCUGCUUCCACGGGGGUUGGGGAUGGAAUGGUUCCGGUGAGUGAUCCUCAAUGGAGUGGUGGAAUUUUGGAUAUUUGGGAUGAUAUUUCAUUGGCUUAUCUUUCCCUUUUCUGCACUUUCUGCGUCUUUGGAUGGAACAUGGAGAGAGUUGGGUUUGGGAACAUGUAUGUUCACAUAGCGACGUUUAUUCUCUUUUGUUUGGCACCUUUCUUUAUAUUCAACUUAGCUGCAGUUAAUAUCGAUAAUGAGACGGUUAGGGAGGCGCUUGGGAUAUCUGGAAUCCUUCUUUGUGUGUUUGGUUUGCUCUAUGGUGGAUUCUGGAGAAUUCAGAUGAGGAAAAGAUUCAAAUUGCCGAGUUAUAAGUUCUGCUUCGGUAGAGCCGCGAUUGCUGAUUGUGCGCUCUGGUUAUGUUGUUGCUGGUGCUCUUUAGCACAAGAAGUUAGGACUGCAAACGCUUAUGAGAUAGUGGAAGACAAAUUCUGCCAAAGAAAAGAAGAGAAGAAUUUGGCAUCUCCGAAUUUGGUAUCUCCUUUGCCUCGUGAGGACGGUGUGUUUGAUCCUCGGUUUGGUCUCGGGAGCUCCCCUAAGAACAUAAGUGGAGCUAGUUCUCCUAGCCCGAGCAGGUUUUGGAAAGAGGUACAUAGUCCAAAUAUUCAGACACCUAGAGAGAAAGAAGAAGGUAAAAGCGAGGUUGCUCUGACUCCACCUUCUCCUCUGUCUAUACACCGAGAAGCUUGAUUUGUAAAACCAUGGAAUUCGAGUCCACUGGUAACUCUCCUUCCUUUCUCUUCAGAUGUUGUAUUUAUUUGAUUUGAGGACAACUUUUGAAUACAAGUCUCUUUGAGUGUUUUACAAAGUUUCAUGAAGCUGGUUUCUUCAUGUGAGUUAUAUACAACUUCGGUUUCUGGUUUAGUGAACUUUCACGGUUUCUUCUGUAAUGUAAAUUUGUCUGUCAUACUUCAGUGAGACUUUGCGUGAUCUAUGUGUCUUUGCAGGCUUUGAUUUUACUUCUAAUUCAUGACACCAGUUCAAAAUUUUGCUUGGUUUUCUGGUCCGGUUUGGGUCCAAAUUCUAAAGUCUCAGUGGAUUACAUAAGGGAUUGCACGUAUCUAUAAACCCACGUAUCGAUAGUGGUGAUCUACACCUAAUUGAGACGAGAUUUAACAAUGUUAACAAAUAAUAUAAAACUACUAGGAUAUGACCCGUGGUACACCGCGGGUUAAUUAUUUGAUUUUUUUAUUUUUAUAAAUUGAUGAAUUUAUUCUGUAUAAUAUUUUUUGUUGUAUACCGCGGGUCACAUGCGUUGUAUCUAAAAUAAAAAAUUUUAAGUUGUAUUUGUUUUGUUUAGUGUUUAAGAUUGUAUAAUUGUAUUUUGCUUUGUUAUUUAUAGGAUUUCACCUGUGGUAUAUUGUCUCGUAUUAAUAUUGACCCAAACCCGUCCAACCAUAUAAUCUAAAAUGAAAUUAAAUAUCAUUUUGUUAUUUUUUUAAUAACACUUUUAUUUAAAUGUCAUAUAAUUCGAGUUAAUUUGAAAGUUGCUUUCAAAUAGUUUCCAUGUAUAUUUUUUAAUUAGUGUGUGUUUUUGGACCAACCCGUAAAAAUAAUUUAUAAUUGUAUCUUAAAAUACUAAUUAGGAUUUCACCCGUGAUAUACUGUCCCAUUUUAGAUAAUUGUAAAAAUUAAAGAAAGAUCCGAAUGACUCAAUUUCGGGUCUGAAUAAAAUAACGACAUGAUUAAAUGCUCAAUUUGUUCUUAAAAAUGUUAAUAUAGAUUACACACAUAUUUUUAUUCAUCGAUUGAGUAAUAUAUGUCCGUUUUAAAAAAUUUGAAUUGUAACAUAUGCAGAAAAAAAAAACUAAAAUUUACUAACUAUUUGUAUAUUUUAUAAUAAUUUAAAAUAAUAUAAAUAUAAGAUCAAAUAAAAGUGAAAUAAGAAUCAUAUAUUUAUGUUUAAAUUAGGUAGAGAGGUUUUAGGAAAUUAGUGCAAAUUUGUUAUAUUAGCAUUAAAUCAUCAUAUUUGAUUUCUUUAUCUAUAAAAAUCGUGGAGAAUAUACCAUAAAUAAAGCGUUUAAAUAUAGUAAUUAGUUGAGAAAGUAUAUAUAUUUUAGAUUUUAUUAAUUAUUUUCGUUUUUUAAUUUUGCCAAAAUUUAAGGAAAGAUCCGAUUGAAGAUUUCCGGGUCAAAAUUAAACAAAUUUGACCCGAUUUGGGUACCCCAAAAAAUGCUGCAAAAAUGUAUAGUAGACUAGGAUAUGACCCGCGGUACACCGCGGGUUAAUUAUUUAAUUUUUUUAUUUUUAUAAAUUGAUGAAUUUAUUGUGUAUAAUAUUUUUUGUUGUAUACCGCGGGUCACAUGCGUUGUAUCUAAAAUAAAAAAUUUUAAGUUGUAUUUGUUUUGUUUAGUGUUUAAGAUUGUAUAAUUGUAUUUUGAUUUGUUAUUUAUAGGAUUUCACCUGUGGUAUAUUGUCUCGUAUUAAUAUUGACCCAAACCCGUCCAACCAUAUAAUCUAAAAUGAAAUUAAACAUCAUUUUGUUAUUUUUUUUAAUAACACUUUUAUUUAAAUGUCAUAUAAUUCGAGUUAAUUUGAAAAUUGCUUUCAAAUAGUUUCCAUGUAUAUUUUUAAAUUAGUGUGUGUUUUUGGACCAACCCGUAAAAACAAUUUAUAAUUGUAUCUUAAAAUACUAAUUAGGAUUUCACCCGUGAUAUACUGUCCCAUUUUAGAUAAUUGUAAAAAUUAAAGAAAGAUCCGAAUGACUCAAUUUCGGGUCUGAAUAAAAUAACGACAUGAUUAAAUGCUCAAUUUGUUCUUAAAAAUGUUAAUAUAGAUUACACACAUAUUUUUAUUCAUCGAUUGAGUAAUAUAUGUCCGUUUUAAAAAAUUUGAAUUGUAACAUAUGCAGAAAAAAAAAAACUAAAAUUUACUAACUAUUUAUAUAUUUUAUAAUAAUUUAAAAUAAUAUAAAUAUAAGAUCAAAUAAAAGUGAAAUAAGAAUCAUAUAUUUAUGUUUAGAUUAGGUAGAGAGGUUUUAGGAAAUUAGUGCAAAUUUGUUAUAUUAGCAUUAAAUCAUCAUAUUUGAUUUCUUUAUCUAUAAAAAUCGUAGAGAAUAUACCAUAAAUAAAGCGUUUAAAUAUAGUAAUUAGUUGAGAAAGUAUAUAUAUUUUAGAUUUUAUUAAUUAUUUUCGUUUUUUAAUUUUGCCAAAAUUUAAGGAAAGAUCCGAUUGAAGAUUUCUGGGUCAAAAUUAAACAAAUUUGACCCGAUUUGGGUACCCAAAAACUGCUGCAAAAAUGUAUAGUAGAUAGUGCUAUAUAUGAAAAUGAUACCACAAGUUGUCAUAGCAGAGAAAGAUCAGUAUCAGUAUGCAAUAUAAGAAUUAAGCAUCACCGUCUUAAAGAGUCAUUAUCGUGGAGAACCACAUCACUAAUCCACUUAUGUAUAGUUAGUUGUUUAUGUAAUCAACUUUCUGUGUUUUGUUGUGUAAUCAACUUUUGAUGUAUUAGUUAAACCUUUAUUUUCUUUUACUUUUAAAAGCUAACCUUUAUUUUCUUUGUGAAACUCUGCACAAAUAUCAAAAGAUAGUAAUGACAAAACAAAGUUAUUUUUCAUCAUUAAAGGUUGUGGUAUUUUAGCCAAUCAAAUUCUUUAGUUUCUAAUUUAAAAUUGUUUUUAAGAACAAAAAUGUACCACUAAUACUAUUGACAAAACUAUAGCUUAACACUUUCUCCAGUUUUAAUAUUAAAAGACUACAUUCAUACUAGAAAGAAACUACACCAAUUCAAAAUUCUUCAAAAUUCCUUUGUCUCUACUUCAAUACGUACGUAUAAAUGUAUAUAAGACAUGGAAACGUGUCAUGGGUACACUGAAGUCGCUGUCGCAGGACUAGAUGGAGCCAAUAGGUGUGGCCAUUGUGCUCUACGUGGACUCGGUGUAUGACACGUGUCAAGAUGAUUAUGCAUUAUGCUGCAAACUUCUGUGAAAUGGUUUUGACCAAAAAAAAAAAGUUGGCUCGACCAACAUACUCGUUGAACACGUUUCUUUGCAUAUUUCUUGAUUACUCUGCCAAUCAUCUAACUAGAAUACUAAUUAGAAAUCAUUUCUGUGUUUGUGAAUGAUCCGUGAAGAUUUUAAAAUGUUUCCUCCAAUAAUAUGAGCAUAGAAAAAUAUCAAGGACUAAUUGAUUCUUUAAAGUGGAAAGUCAUUAUUGAAAGUAAUUUAUUAGAGAUUUAUUGAUUAGUGGGUUUUCAUUAAUUUUAAAAUUAAAACAAAGAAUAAUUGAUUUUUAAUCCAAACUGUGUGUUGUUAUUUGUUUAAUAAUUUCUAGAUAUUAGUUAAAAUUUGGUAUUAUUCUCUUAGGGGGGUAUUGGACGAAGGAAAUUGAUAGAAUUAAACAGAAUUUGAAUUCUAGUGUUAUUCAUUUUGACUUUUUGUAGAUUCUAUUAAAUUCUUGUGUUAUUGAAAUAAGUAUUUGUAACCAUUCUUUUGAAAUACUUUUAAUUCUAGUGUUAUUCAAUUUGUUGAAUUCUUAAUUCUAUUAAAUUCAAGUGUUAUUCAAUGUUAUGUAAAAUUCUAUGACACCAUUAUUUGACAAGAAUUUAAUAGAAACAUUAGUGUAAAAUGUAUUGAACAAAUUCUGAGCCUUUACGUUGUGAUUUCGGUGGAAAAAAAAAGGACGUACGGACUUCAAAUGGGUCUUCUUCUCAUUGGCAUCUCUUAUGGAGCCAAGACCUCAUCAAAAUUUCCCUCAAAUGAUUCGUCUUCCCAUUGACAUCUCUUCUGGAGCAACCAAGAGCCUCAUGUGCAAACCAUUAGCUAUGAACUCAUGUGCAACAUAUCUUCUUUUCCACCUCUGAUCUGCUCCAAGCUUGAUCCUUCACCACCAUCGAGAGUUUCCACAACCAUGACAUGUGCUAAUAGAGCCACCAGUGAUUUCCACCACCUGUGCGACUUCUCCAACUCUCUCCUCUUCUCCCUUUCUCUCUUUUUUUGUGUAAACGAGAUUACUGCCUCUUUCAUCACAUCUCCACAUGAGACCUCACUUCUCCUGUUUUCUCGUAUCCUCCAGAGAUGCCAUGUGACGCAAGGGGAUAAAUCGGAGGUAAAACAAGCAGAAUUCUCCCUAGCUCAACGGUGACUUCGAGUGACUUGAAAGGUAUUACAAUGAACUGGGAGUCCAAGAACAAUUGCAAAAUCAAAGAGUCUUCAUUCCACGCCAACAAGAGGGCGUUCUUCAAUGAUAAGGCAGUCUUCGCUACAAUAUCUUCUGCUACCAACGAUAAGCGACAGAAAUGUCUCGUAAGGGAACUUCAAGGGUUUUAGAAGACAGCAUGUCCAAACAAGAUGCGACAGCGAGUCCACAAACACCAAAGAAGCUUUCAUUCCCUGCAAAUAAAGAUUUCCCACCAACAGGGGAAUUUGAUAGAACAUAGAUAUGAGCUAAUGGAGUUGAUGAGCAAUACGAAGAACCACAACACAAUUUCUACUUUGAUUGAAAUACUUAAACGAAUCAAAAUAAUCAUGAAUAAUAAAAAUAGAAAACUAUAAUUAUUGUUUACAUGAUGAUUUGAUGAUGCGUUAUUUGUGAAGGGAUGAAGAAGAAGAUGAAGGAAGCCACUGAUAUUCAUGUUGAUGAUACCUACACUUGAACGAUCUUGGAUGCUUCGACGGUGAACACACACACUUCUUCUUUCCAUCGCCACCGUCACCACCCCUACGGUGACCAGCAGUGGCUUCCACAUCUGUUGCCACCGUCACUUCUGCCCCCGGAGUAAUUUCGUGGAAGCUCUCCGGAGGGAUAACAAGAGGUAGAAGAAUUUUGUAAAUAUAUCUUUUCAAUUCUAUUGAAAUUUCUUUUCAAUUCUAUUGAAAUUUCUUUUCAAUUCUAUUAAAUUAUUGUAGAAUAUUCGUAGAAUUUGAAAGAAAGAUUUUAAAAAAUCUUUACAAGUACUUACAAAUCUGUAUUUAUGUCUUUAAUUCCAUUCUAUUAAAUUCUAUGACAUUCUUUGCUUCAAUACCCCCCCCCCCCCUUAAUGAUUUUUCAUUAGAAUUAAGAGAUUUCACAUUUUAUUUUAAGAGAUGUAGAAGUGUUUUUAAUUAAACAUAUAAAUGCUCCUAUCUAAUGGUAACAUUUUUUUUUCAAAUCCAUUUUUUCCUAUUUUAUAGUUUACAAUUUUAUUUUAUAUUAUCAAUAAUUUUUAUUUUCUAAAAAUCUUACAUAAAUUUCCUAGAUUUGGGUUUAAUAGAAAUUCAUUCCUUCUCAAAUCUACUAAAAGUCAAGAAGUAUUUUACUUACCAUAAACAAAUUCCAUAAACCUAUUAAAUAUUCACCUAAUACAAACGACGGUGGGUCAACAAUUAGCUGGCUCAACUUUCAAACACCUUUAUCUUCGGGUCCCACAAUCCAGUUUAACCCACUACCAUAACGCCACGUGCCAAUCUUAAGCUAAAAAUAUAAAAACCAUAAAAAUAGGAUGGGUUACAGAGAAUCAAAACCCAACCCAUAGCCUCCGCUAUAUAAAUCCCAGAAUUAUCAUUACCAUUUUCAAAAUCCCUUAAGAAUCGUUUAAUCUUCUUCAUCAUCCACCAUUUUCUUCUUCUGAUAAUUCACUUCGAUUCCAGAAAUUCGCCAAGAACUGGAUACUCUGGCGGAAUCAGAGAUCAAGAACCGAGACGUGGUUCUGAAACUGUAUGAAGCCUUGAGAUCUCGCGACGUUAAAUCUGUGCACCAGAUCUUAACCCCAGAUCUGGAGUAUUGGUUCCACGGCCCUCCGCCGCACCAGUUUUUGAUGCGCGUACUCACCGGAGGAGUCUCUCCGUCUUCUUCCUCGUUCGAAUUCGUACCUCUCUCCGUCGUUUCGUUCGGAUCUACCGUAAUCGCAGAAGGCUGCGACGCCGCGACCUCGAUUUCUUGGAUCCACGCUUGGACCGUAGCGAAUGGGAUAAUCACACAGGUGAGGGAGUACUCUAACACUUCUCUCACCGUCACGCGGAUCGGUAACGUUGUUGCUGGACGACGCUCCGCUGAGAUUGCGCCGUCGCAUUGCCCCUCCGUGUGGGAAAGCCAAUUCUCGGGUCGGGCAGGUAAAUCCGUACCCGGUUUGGUUCUGGCGAUUUGAAAGAAUUUGGUAAAGUAAGUAACAGCCACGUCAAGGGAAUAACUAAAUAAAGGCUGUUUACGUGUCGGUGUGUGGUUGGUUUGUUUGUUUUAUGGGUUAAAAGGAUUUGGUUGCUGUUUUAAACGCGGAGUGGGCUUCAGGCUAAGGCCGCGUUUGGCUGUUGCUAGUUCUUUUUUUUUUUUUAAUCGCUUUAAAAUAAUCGUGUGGUUUUGUGUUUUUUAGUGGGAGCAAGAAUGGGGAAACCCAAAUUGACUUGUUGUCCCGUUGUGUUUGAUGUAACGUUUGGUUAUGUUAUAAUUGAAAUAAAAAAGUGCUUUUGUGAUCUUUUGAUGAUUUUAUAGUACGAGAAGCUGUGCAUUUGUUAGCAAAAUAUAAUAGCCAUAUAUGGCCCAUAUCUUUGUUUGAAUUAGCGUUGAAAUAAUAUCAAUGUAUGACAAAUUUAUUUGGUUAUUGUAGAUUAUAGGAUUAGUCUGUUUAUCCACUACUCGGCAUACUCUUGUCUAAGAUCGCUUAUUUAGGGUCGCAAUAAGUAUGAACUGUUUUUUUUUUGGAUAAUGUAGAUUACAUGAUUUACUAUAUACUCCUUCCGUUUUCGAAUAGUUGUCGUUUUAGAGAAUUUUUUUUUUUUAAUUAGUUGUCGUUUUCAGUUUUCAAUGCAAAAUUUAUUACUUUUUUAUUUUUUAUAUUUAUUUUUAUUAUGCAACUUGAUUUACUAUUGGUUAAAUUAUGUUUAGGUAGAUAAUUAAUGAUAUUUUUAUAUUGAAAAACUAACGACAUUAAUAGAUUUUUAAUUUGUGUGCAUAUAAUUAAAACGACAACUAACGAAAGAGUUGAAAAUUGAUUAAAUGCAAUCGUGGAAGCAAUUAAUAAAAAAGAGUUAAAAAAGAUUAUGAAAGAGAAAGAAUUGGGAGUGGGAAGCAACGAGGAAGGUCACUUAUGCGUCUUUUUGUGGAUGUAGACACGCAUUUUUUCGCGUGAUAUAUCAAUGUUUUGGCGUUCGUAUGGUCAAUAUGGGGUGACGAUAAUAACAGAACGGAACUAAUAAACAAAACAGAUUAAUCAAUUGGGAAGAUAAAAAUCAUAUAAAAAGUCUACAUGGGCGUAUUUCAUUAUUUAAUUUAAUCGUGUGAUGCACUGACGCAAAUGUUGACAUUCAUUGAACUAGAUUUGUUUUUUGAUAAUGUCCCAUGCCCAAAAGCCAAAAUAUUCAUAAAAUGUUAUCCAAAAUAUUGAUGUAUAUUACAACGGGAAAAAUGUCGUUUUAUCUCCCAACUUUCAAAAAGUGGCCAAUCAAUACGUCAACUUUAUAUGUGGUCAUUUAAAACAUGAAAUAAACGUUGACUAACGUUUGAGACAUGGAAAUUCGUUGACCAUGCCAAAAUAGACAUGCCGUUAUCAGUCGUUAACGGAACCUCUAACGCCCGUUAUCACCCGUAACGACUCUGUUAAUCAACUUUCAAAUUGUGGCCAUUUUAAACAUCAACUUCAUAUGUGGUCAGUCAAAACAUGAACUAAUCGUUGACUAACAUUUGAAACAUUAGAUUUCGUUGACCAGGCCAAAAUAGACAUGUCGUCAUCAUUCGUUAACAGACCUAUAACAUUCGUUAUCACCCGAAGUUUUAAAAUACUCGAACGGAUUCUAAACUUCACAACCCGAAAACCCGAACCCGAACCCGACCCGAACUCGAACCCGAACAAGUACCCGAACAUACCCAAAAUAUAAGUACAUAGUUAUAAUAUAUUAGUAAUAUUUAUACUUGUAAUAACCUAAGUGCCAAAAUUAUUCGGAUGUUAAGAUAUUUUCGGGUGUUUUAGCUACUUUGGGUUAGAUUCGGGUUAAAAUACUUGGGUUUUAUAGAUUUUUUGAGUAUUUUUCAAUACUUUGCAUAGAAUCAGAUACAAAAUUUCUAAUAUUUGGAUACUUUGGGUAAACCCGAAUCCAAACCCGAAAUACCCGAUCCGAACCCGACCCGAACCCUAAGUUUUAAAAUACCCGAACGGGUCUUAGUUUUCUAAACCCGAAAAAUCCAAACCCAAAAAACCCGACCCGAACCCGACCCGAAUAUCCGAACGCCCAUGCCUAAUUUAGUCCUAUGAUGGGUCUACAAGUUUGCUUCCAUGAUUCCUUUUUAGAUUUAAAACAAAUAUAUAAACGAUGUUUGCUUCCAAUUAUUGGCUCCACGAUUGUCUCUAUAUCAAACCAUGUCCUUGGAUUAUGCUUUAAACAAAAAAUUUGUCCUAAUUUUCUCUCGAUUAUUUUCAAAACGACGUCGUUUUGGACAUACUAACAGAGUCGUUAACGGGUAUUUUAAAACUUCGGGUGAUAACGGAUGUUAUAGGUUCUGUUAACAAAUGAUGACGACAUGUCUAUUUUGGCCUGGUCAACGAAUUCUAAUGUUUCAAAUGUUAGUCAACGAUUAGUUCAUGUUUUGAAUGACCACAUAUGAAGUUGAUGUUUAAAAUGGCCACAAUUUGAAAGUUGAUUAACAGAGUCGUUACAGGUGAUAACGGGCGUUAGAGGUUCCUUUAACGACUGAUAACGGCAUGUCUAUUUUGGCCUGGUCAACGAAUUUUCAUGUCUCAAACGUUAGUCAACGUUUAUUUCAUGUUUUAAAUGGCCACAUAUGAAGUUGACGUAUUAAUUGGCCACUUUUUGAAAGUUGGGAGAUAAACGACAUUUUUCCCGUAUUACAACCCAUUUAUCUAUACUUUGAACAAAAUGUAUCCUCAAACAUUGAAACGUACCCCCUUGAGAUUAGUAGAAAUCUUGUUUUCUAACGUAGAUUGGAAGUAUCAUCUGUGAUUACAAGUAACGCCACCACAAAUGCGAAAUCGAUAUAUGGAUUCACUCUCACUUUGAAGCUGUAACUCCCUUUUAUAGGUCCUCCCCAUGAGAAAUCAUGAACCACCUGCAUAAUUUUAGCUCUCAUUUAUCAUAUUGUUCUAGCUAAAAUAACUUUAGUGUAGAUCCUUCGAACAAUAAGCUUUAUAUGGGUGCAAAUGGUUAGCUAGAGAAAUGAGCUAAAAUUUAACAUAAUUUACCGUAUAAUCUUUUAACUAUCGAAUAAAUCUAGUUUGAGCAAGAAGCAAAGAAGGUAGGAAUAAGGAUGACAUACCUCAGCAAGAAGAGUAUUGUGAAUUGGCUCGAAGAGUUUGAAAGAAGAGCCGAUAUAACGACCAAAUGUUUGAAAAUCUGGCGCAAUACUACUAAUGUCCGUUGAAUUUUGGGGUGGCGGUAAAGUGACAUCAAGUGAUGGUUUGAAGGAUAAUAGAUUUGGUUCCCUUGCUGAGAAAAGAAGAUCUUCAGAUUCUGUGCUUUCUCCUUUGUAUACUUCCCAUUUGUAUCUCAUUGUUACAAGUCCCUGAAACAUGGUUCAUUUGACGUUCCUUUCAGAAAACCAAGUACUUACUUACUCGUGAAUGUGGUCAAUUGGUUAUGAGAUGGAAUCAACUUUGUUUUCUCACGAGAGCAUAAAUUAUGCUUUCAAGUCUCAAAUAUUUCUAGACAUUCUUUUGACUCUAUAUGUUUUUGAGUGUCAAAUCAAAUUUCCAUUGUCUUACGUUCUACAAUUAAAAAUUUGAUCAUUUUGUCAUUGCCGAUAUCGUUAAUCAACUAGUCAUUCCAUUGCUGAAUGAGAAUAAUUUGAGACUAUCAAGUAACAAACUAAAGAGAAAGGUUGGCAAAAAAUUUUGGUUUUAGGCCAUUUACCACUCAACCUGUCUAUUGACAUCUACCAAUUUUCUGAAAAAUAAGAUUAGGCAUUACUAUCUUGAUGGGUAAGCUAGGUUCUCUAUGUGGAGAAAUUCGGUUAUGCAGCCAAAUUGUCCUUUAAAAACGUUUCGUAUAAACGACCUUGUUUUAAGAAAUAAUCUAAUAAGUCGUUCCAUUAAAACCGAACUAAACUUCAUAUAACACAAUUAACAUGUGAUGAUCCUCAACAAUACGAUUAAAUAACUUCGUAGAUAAAUAUAUGUGAUUAGUGAGGUUUGUGUGACCUUGGUACGCAUGGAAAGAAGAGGAAUUCCGGUGGCGUCACGGAGUACACGUUUACGACGGAUAUUCCAAAUGCCACCUUCCACGGUGAAGAUGAGAUUGUCAGAGAGAUCGAAAACGUCGUAGUGUUCCCUUUUCAGGCUCUCACGCCGCCUUCUCACCACCAGCUCCGUCGUGUACGGAUUACAAAACAUCUCUCCCACAACACUCACCAUUUUUAUCCAACAAUAUUUAUUUUUUGAACAAGUCUGUCUGAUACAAGAAAUCUAAUUAAAAGGAGUGUCUAUAAAUCAAAGGAUCGCAUUGUCUUGAUUUUUUUCUCAAAUUUUUAUAUUAGUUAAAUAAAGCGAAGAAAAGUAGAGCUUAUUAUAUAAAGUUUAAUUAACGCGGUUCUUAGAUUGCUUGAAGCAGAAGGAAAAGAUUAUUCAUUUACUAUUUUACUCUUAUUAAAGAAAAGUUAUUUUUUUUUUGUGGUUUAUGAAUGUGACACGAAGAGGAAUAAGAUGUUCUAACUAGUAUUUUAUUACGCUUCUUGAUCAUGUCCAAAUCCGACUUUCUUCAUUGACUGAGAUAAAAGAGAGAAUGUUUUGUUUUAAACAGAAAACAUUUUGUGAUUAUUAUUGUUUCUUGAUGAUCAAUAGACAACAGUCUUCAGAACAUUUAACUUCAUCAGUUGUUGUUGAUGAACGAAUAUGUUUGCUAAUUUGUUAUAUUUGCUUCUCUUAUAGUAUUCGCUCUUUCCAUUUAUUCGUGAAAGGAUCAUCUUCCAAAAUUCUCUUUCUGAUUGAAAAAUGGGAACCAAACACGUACAACAAAGUUUCCGAAGUUCUUGCAAUUUGAAAUCAGAUUCUUCUCUUAGUAUAGUAUGUUUUAGAUACAAAUUAAAUAGAAAUAAAAAUAAUGUAUAUAUUAUUAUCGUGAAAUGGAGAACAAUACAUAAGAAAAAGAUAAGGACUAAAUGAUCCCUAUGAUUAGAACUUAAUAGCCUAUAUCUCAAGUUGUAAAAUACUAAUAUGCUUGAAUAAGCUUAAUGUUCUCUACAUGGUUUAGAUAGAUGUAACAGCGCUUACCGUUAAACUCUUCCAUUCCUUGGAUUUGAAGUCUUCUGAUCGUGUUUCUCUCGAUGUUGUAGUAGAAGACGUAGGAAGGCAUAAAUGUAGAUGGGUACUUGCACGACAACACAAUUUCAUUGGUGCCUUUCAAUCCAAGAAACCGUAGGUUGGUCUCUUCUCCAACUAGAUUCUUCCACAAAGGAGGCAACAUGUAUACAUGUGUUGACCAUUCAUGUUUUCCAGCGUCUUCUAGGACCCGCAACUCGAAACUUUUACUUGUUCCACUAACAAUAUCGUUACUCUUCAGCCAUCAACAAACCUAAUUUGCCAUUGUAGUUUAUCAUAGUUGUUGACCUAGGCAGAUCUCUAUUGAAAGUUUCCGUGACUUUCAUAAAGCUGAACUUUUCAGAGCUAAUAUCAAAGCAAACUACCGUAGUUACCAUUAAAGACUCUUUUUCGACCGUAGUAUAAUACAAAACACCGUUGAUGCAUAUUUCACUACCAUGAGGAACAUGGGGUUUGCAGCAUUGAAUCAUCCUCCAUGAUUUUCUUUCAGUUCCUAGUGGUAGAACUUGAUACUCGAUCCUUACAUUGAUGCUCCUUGGCGUAAUAAUUUGAUACUGAUGGAUUAUCUGGCGGGUGACGUUUAAGACAGAACAAACCGUUGACAGGACCCUUGACUUCAUAGGCAUGAGGGACAUUAGUAAGAAGAUCCGCAGUUAUAGCACCCAAGUCCUCAUCAAGGUUUUGAGGCUGAUGUGAGGAGAAUAAGAAGAACCAAUCCUCGUGUGCGCACGCGAAUAAGAGCUGCGGGCGAAGAGAAGAAUUUCUCAUAAACAACUCUGUGAAAUGUUGAUCGCAAAAUACGGAGGCCCAGUACUUUGAUAAGCAACGACAUCUAGCAAUAGAUUUCGCCGGCAGCCUCGAGAAUAUAUCGACAACGAGAUCCUUUGGGAGCGGCAAUGACUGUAGGCUUUUUUCAACUGAGGCUAGCGUCCGCGUUCUGCUUCCAGGAAAGUUUAGACUAUCUUCCGAGACGUUCAACAACCGUCGUUUUUUCAUCAUAGUGGAGCGAGACACUAAAGCCCUAGAUUCUCCUCAAAGUUUUAACAAAAGGGCUUAUUAGCAAAGUAAACACUUUUAUAAAAGUAAUUUGAGAAAUAGGUAGUUUUUUUAGAAAUUUGUGAAAUAGACACUUUUUAUUUCUUUUGUGAGAUAGAAGUGGUGUGUAAUAGACUAAAAAACAAGAAAGAAGUCAAAUACCACUUUACCCCUUAUCUUUUGUGAGUUAGCUUUUUGUGUGGGUUCAAAUCUUUUAUAUUAUUGGAUCAAAUUAUAUUAUAUCAUUACUUUUUUUUUUCUUAAUCAUUUUGGUUUUCUUUUUAAAAAAAGAAUCUUAAAAAAAAAAAUGACUUGUAUAUAUUCUGCUACCAAUCUCGUACACCAGCAUCUUAAACAUAGUUUUGUACACUAACUUGUACACCAAGUCAUUAAGUACAUCGAUUUGUCUUAUAUUUGUAAAUUGAAGUAAUUAUUGUUCAUAAUAUUAAUACAAACACGAUUGUAAUAUAAACCAUAGGUUAUACUAAAUAUAAUAGUGUACACCAUCAUGUACACCAAUGAAUAUGAUGGUGUAUACCAUUAAAUUGAAAUAAUGUUUGUACAUUUCUAUGUAGUGUACACUAACGUUUGUACACUCCUCUGUAUACCAAUCUCGUACACUAUUGUGUAAAUAUUGUUUUAUACAUUAUCACUUGACAAAAAUGGUUCUUUCUUUGUAUGUGAUGUACAAGUACAAAAUAUGUGGGUGUACGAUAUUGUAAACUACACACGAGGUAGUAUAUGGUGCGACAUACUAUCUCAUCGUUAUAUGUACACCAUAUUUUACAUCAUCUCCGUACACCAUCGUAUUAUGUACGUGUACACCUCUAUCAAUUGUCGUUUGUAAACCACCUUGUAUACUGUUUACAUAUUGUAUACCACUUUUACAUUAAUAAUAUAUAUUAAUUUUUAUAUUAUCGCCGUACACCAUUUUUUACAUUAUUGUGUACACCGACGGAUUGAGAUUAAAUUAAACAAAUAUAAAAUAUAGCAAAAUUGAACUUUUUAGAUUCACUUAAAAUUUUUAAAGAUUAAUAUGUUUAUGUAAUAAUUUUUUAUGAAGAUUUUUUAACAAAACAAAACAAAAUAAAAGUAUUUAAGUUUAAGUUAAAAGAAGAAAGAGAAAAAGUUAUAGUUUUGUCUUUAUCUUACUACGUAACAAAACAACAAAGGAUAUAUAAGUCAUUUAAUAAAAUCUCUAUUAGAGAGAAAAUUGUAUUAGAGAGGAAAGAGAAAAGUGUAUAUCCUUCUAAUUUCUAAAAAAACUACCUACUUUGCAAAUUAUUUGUAAAAAAAGUGUAUACUUUACAUAAUUUCUCUUAACAAAACAAGAAAAUGAAACGCUGAUAUAAAAUUUAUCUCUUCAUUAGUAACAAAAAGUAGAUUGCGUGUAUGAUUUAGUUACAAGAAAAUCCAUCUAUCCCAAAAUUAAUGCCCGUAUAUAUAGGAGAUUAGUUUUUUUUUUUUUUUUUUUUUCGUCGAAAAUAAAAUUAUAUUAAUAAGAUUCAUCAUACAAUUGUUGAGAUAACCACCUUGGUGGAUUACAAGUUUCAGAGAAAAAACAUCGAACAGGAACACCAUGUUUUGCCAACAAAUGAGCCGCAUUAUUACAAGAACGUUUAGCAAAUACAAACUGUAAAGAAUGAAAUUUAGCUGCCCAUAACAAAAUGUCUUGAUAGAUACCAUCGAUUGUGAUAUCAUAAGAUUCUCCGUUAAUCAUCUUUGUGAGGUUCUGACAAUCGCCUUCAAAAAUAACCGAAGUAUGACCAUGAAUCCAUACUUGUUGCAUUGCGGCCAGUAAACUCUUAGCUUCUGCUUCAAGGGGCGUGAUGGCAUUUGGUAGACGGGACGCACCCCAGAAAUUUGCAUUGCCUCUAUCAUCUCUCAAAAUCCACCCACCCGUAACUUGGUGUGUUAAUGGAUCAAAUCCGGCAUCAUAAUUACAUUUGAGAAAAGGUGCUGGGGGUCUCCUCCAAUGUUGCUCAAUUUGGUCGAAAGCUAACGCUUGAUCAUAAGGUUCUCUAGACUGAAGAUUAUCAACCCAUUCAUGCACUUCUGCUCUCGCUUGUAGGACGACCAUAGAGGGGCUCAUUCGGAUCAUGUUGAAGACGUACUUAUUCCUUGCCUUCCAUAUGUGCCAUAGGAGCCAGAGUGGUAAAAGUUUCUGUUCUGUUUCCAAACCCUGCAGUUUUUGUAAUUCCAAUACCUUUAAGAGAUUACUUUCAUAGUUUGCGGAAGGAGAUUGUAGUGAGUGUAAAGGAACAUUGGAUAAUCUCCAUAUCAUAGUUGCAAAAGGACAUGUGAAAAGGACGUGGUUGAUGGUCUCAUUGGCCACACAGCAGCGCGGACACUUUGGAUCCAACUUCAUGUCGCGGGUGUUCAGACGUGUUGUUGUGGCUAAAGCCUUUGUGGUUGCCCUCCAAAGGAAAUGUUUGAUUUUUGGUAUUGUUGAUAAUUUCCAAAUGGAGUUCUGCAUUGUUAGCGAACCGAAAAGUACUUCUGGACGAGCAGCCAGGUAUUGAUGUUCAUGAGUAAUUAGCCAAUAACCCGAGCGGACCGUGUAUUCCCCUGUUUUAUUAUAAUGCCAGACUAAUUUAUCUGAUUGUAUACAUUGUGGAAGGUGAAAUUGUUCAAAUAUGUUACGGUCCUCUAGAAUGACUUUGUCUCUAAUUGCAUUCUUGUUCCAAAACCUGUAUGAACCUGUAUUAGAGAUUAAUUCUUUGAUGGUAAUGUCGGAGCUGCCAUUAAUGCUUCGGAUUGGUCGAGGUGGGUGAGUCGGGACAACGUUAUCACCAUCCAAACGAGCAAGUUCACCAUCGCCUAUGAUCAACCUUGAACCUUUUUUGAUAAUUUCCAGUCCAGCUAACACGGAGGCCCACCCAUAAGACUGUUUUACACGUUGUUUUGCAUCCAAAAUAUUAUCAUCGCGGAAGUAACGAGCUUUCAUAAGCCGAGCGAGUAAACAGUUUGGAUUUCUAAUGAUUCGCCAGGCUUGUUUAGCUAGUAGGGCAUCAUUGAAUUUAGAAAGGUCUUUAAAACCUAAACCUCCCUCUUUCUUGGAGAACUGUAACCGUUUCCACGCUAUCCAUGGGAUGCCUCUGUUUUGAUCACCCUUUUCCCACCAAAAUCGCAUGAGCCGAGCUUCGAUUUCGGAGACUACUCCCAAUGGUAGUUUAAAACAAGACAUUGUGUAGACCGGCAUUGAAAGGGCUACCGAUUUUAUCAUGAUCUCUUUUCCGGCUGGUGAUAGGUAUCGUGCACUCCAAGUUGAUGUUCUCUGCUUCACUUUAUCGAUAAUAUACGCAAACAUUUCUUUCUUUUUCUUGCCAAACUGUUCAGGUAGGCCUAAAUAUUUCCCAUUACCUCCAUGAUUUGGAAUUUCCAGAAUGUGUUUUAGGCGAUUUUGAAGGUUGCCGUUAACUCUGGAUCCAAAAGUGAUAAGGGAUUUAUUUGUAUUUAUUUUCUGGCCUGAAUAGUAUUCAUAAACUUCGAAAGCUUCUUUCAAAGCGCGGCAAUUUCGGCUAUUUGCUUGGCAGAAAAAGAGUGAAUCGUCUGCAAAUUGGAGAUGAGUAAUGGCAGGAACACCAUUCCCUAUUCUCACACCACGAAUUUCCCCAGAUUUUGCUUUUGUUGUGAUGAGGUGGUUCAUAAUAUCUGCACAUAGAAUGAAUAGAUACGGGGAAAGAGGGUCGCCUUGUCUAAUACCCCGCUCCGGUGUGACCAGCCCGUGAGGUGAACCGUUCACAAGAACCGAAUACGUUACAGAACGAACUGUAGCCAUGAUCCAUUCAAUCCAUUGAUUCGAAAACCCAAACAGUUUCAUUGUGGUCUCCAAGAAACCCCAUUCUACUCUAUCGUAAGCUUUUGUAACAUCCGUUUUAACAGCCAUAUAGUUUUGGGAGACUCUCUUACGAGUUUUUAAGGAGUGCAUCACCUCGUGGGCAAUGAGAAUGUUGUCUGUUAUAAGUCUCCCAGGAAUAAAGGCUGCUUGUGAAUCCGAAAUAAUAUUUCUCAAGUGAUGUUUAAGGCGGUUAACAAGGCACUUUGAGAUAAUUUUAUAAAGGACAUUACACAAAGCUAUAGGUCUAUAGUCACUCAGGAUUUUUGCAUUAGUAUGUUUGGGUAUCAUACAGAUAUUUGUAUGAUUGAUACUUGGUUUCAUGUAGGAGGUUAAAAAGAAAUCGCGCACCUCUUUGAUAACGUCCUCACCAAUGAUAUUCCAAUAUGAUUUGUAGAAACGUGCUGUUAAACCAUCGGGGCCGGGGGCUUUGUCAUCACCGAUAGAGCAAACAACAUCAUAUAUUUCUUUAUCUUCAAAAUCCCGAGUCAGCUCGUCAUUGAUAUCUAAUAGUGGUGAAUUGUGUUAUGAAAAAUUUAGAAACAUGAAUUUAAAAGAUACGUGAUUUGGUAAGUUAUGAUGGAAAAUCUCUUCCAUGAUAUUUUCCUUCCGAUUGAGAAAAGAAAAAAAGAAAGGAUGAGAAACACAAGAAGUUUGAAUAGUCAGAUUGUAUAAAAAUAUUGAAAUCAAUGUUCAAAAUAAAUGAUAUCUUUCAUUAAAAAAAAAACAUUUAUUUAGGAAAACAUAUAUACAGUAAUAAUUUUGAGAAAGAAAAAAGAGAUUGAAAAUAAUGUAUUUGUAAUUGUGAAAUGGAGAACAGCCACGUACGUACAUGUAUUUAACAAAAUUGUAGCAUUGGUUCUUUUUGUGAAAAAACUAUUUUUAUAAAAGUAUUAAAUUUUUAAAAGCAAAAUUUAAGUGAAUUAGUAUUAAUUUUUUAACAAAAUGCCUUGAGUGCUAUGCACAGAAAUUUUAUUUAUUGUUUGAUUUUUCUUUACAAAUUGAAGUCUAACUAUUCAAACUUAACUAAUUACCCUGAAUGAAAAAAAAUUAAAAACGGUAAGAGCCUCAAAUUCAGAAACUCAGAGUGUUUUUCGGUGGAAAGAAAAGUAAUGGGGUAGAUAUCAUGGUAUUUAAACUGAAAAAAAAAAUGGGGAAAGAUAAUAAAAUUUCACACUCUUCAUAUUCCAAUUGUUGUUUAUCGCUUUUCUUUGUAUUUUUUUUAAAAGCAUUUAAUGUCCACUACUCCACUGAUAAAAAAUAAACUCAAAGAUUAAUGCUUUUUUAUUUUUGAUUAAUCUGUAUUAAUGAUGUAUACGGAAAAAAAAAAUUGUAUGGAAGCAUGAAAGUUUGAAAUUUCAAAAGUUGGUGACAACGAAACUUUAACAAUGCAACACAUUUUCCAUUAAACUCUGUUUUUAGAGUAUCUCUAAUGCAUACCUCUAUAUUUUUCUCUAUUUUAGAGGAACUCUAUUUUAAAGGAGAUUUUGCUCUCAUGUAUCCCUCUAAAAUAGAGAAAAAUAUAGAGAUGGACAUUGGAGAUGGUCUUACCACAUUACUAUGGAAAACACAUCCUUUCUGUAAAGAAGAAGGCAAAAAUAUCAAAGUGAUAAUCCCAGCUACGUGCAUCGAAUUGCAUACCAGGGUAAAUAUCGACUAUUUGAUGCACUCUUUUUUGUUUUUUAAAGACAAAAACUAGAAGAUCUGUUUACUAAACCAGCAGUUAGUAUUUUAUUUUCUCAUGUUUGUUUAAAAAUUAAAACUAAAAUAUAAUAUCCCAUAACAUUUUUUUAGUUCAUAGUUUUCAGAAUUACCUCUUCAUAAAAAAACAAUUCAAAUCAAAAUAUGUUAUUUUUUUAUUGUUUGAAUUUGUUUUUGGUAACGUUGCUCCAAUUUCUGGAUUUAAAAAAUCAUUUGCAUGCAGAAUCGGAAUAAACAUGAUGGUAACAAUUUUAUAAUUUAUAAUUUUAAUUAACAAAAAAAAAAGCAAUUUUAUAAUUUUUAUUAUUAUUUGGUUUUGUCAAGAUCUUAAACAAAUCUCUCUACUUUAUUAACCCAGAGCAUUGACGUGAUUGUCGUACAGGCAACUGCAACGUCUCUCUGCAUUCUCCGAUAAAUAAUAUUACGAAAACACCCCUAUAACUUUCCAUUCUGGUGUCAAAGCCCCAAAACCCAAAAGGGUAAAAUCGUCUCAUAAAUAUUUCUUUUUCGCGCUUCAUCUAUUUUUCUUAGUCUCAGAAAAUAAAUUGCAGUGUUUCUGCGAUUUUCAGUCGUAGUACCUUUUUGUUUUAACUCUCUCUCAUAUUAGCCAUUCUCAAAUCAAAGAAACCCUAAGAUUUUUCGUGUUCAGAUUCAAUUUCUCUGUGAAAUUUUCCUCAUCCCAAUGCGUUCGACUGAAAUUUGCAGAAAGUUGAGUUUCUGAAGAUUCCGUUCGCUUUGUCUUCUUCGUCUCUCGAUCGUUCAGGUGAGGAAAAUCUUCUCUCACUCUAGCAGUUGUUUUUUUUUGGAAAUUUAGUCGAGAUUGUGCUCUGAUGUUGCUCUGUUUGCUUUUUUCUAAGCUCGGAAACCUUGAAUCUCUCUUCGGUGAGUGAGAUCGUCUCCUUCAACCUCAAGUAGCUGUUCGCUUAAGGAAUCUGAGGUAUCAUUGACUCAGCUUCUCAGAUUUGUUUUCAUUUCUUCGUUUCCGUUUAGAUUUCUGUUUUGGAAACCUUCGAUUUUGGUUUGUCACUGAGCGUUUGAGGAGGAAGAACACAUGUGGUUAUGAUAUCUUUCAUCUUUCUUUGGUUUCCGAAGUAGCAACUGGUAUUAACGUUUAUUAAUUGAAGAUCCUCUCUGCUUAGGGUUUCUGGAACUUAGUAGACAGAACAAAUUUCAUUAUAGUGUCUUCCGUAAUCAUGAAAUUUUUAGGUUUAGUGUUGUUAACAUUGUCUCAAAGUGAAAAAUGGUCCUGCUUGGGGUAUCUGGAACUGAAUAUUUUAGAGAAUUACUGCAAAUUGCUUGAUGAUUUUGGAGACAUUUCACUUUCCUCAUUAUCGUUUUUUGCUUUUCUUAUGCUUUUGUUUUGAUAUAUAUCUUGAUUCUUUCUAGUGAGAAGCAAUGGGUGCAGGGAGGAAGACAGAGACCUAUACAUUGGCUCCGGAUGGCCAAUACAUAUCAGGAUAUGGAAAUAUGUGUGUGAGAAAUCUGAAGAAGGGAGAUCUUUGUGGGGUUAUAUUUGGAUGCAAGUUCAGCACUAUCAAAGAGUGCUAUGCUAAGAAUUUGUUUGGUUAGUUGCCUAUACAAUCUUUGAGGCUUAAACUUUAGUGCCGACCAGGAUUUUGAAAAUGAUGCUCGUUUGUGAACAGGUUUACCAGCCCCACACAUGGCUUAUAUCAAGAACAUUGAUCCCGGCUUGACGCUGUUCCUAUUCAACUACAGUGACAGAACACUUCACGGCAUAUUUGAAGCUGCUAGUGAAGGAAAACUGAACAUUGAUUCCAAAGCUUGGUCUCCAAAUGGGACAGAUCCAACUCCAUAUCCUGCUCAGGUACCUUUACUUAGUACAGAACGCCUUCUUUAGUUGAUUCACCCAAAUGUCCUCUAAACAGAUAUGUAUCUCGUUCUGCAAAUUUUUGCCACAGGUAAAGGUACGAGUCCGAGUGCGGUGUGAGCCCUUACCUGAAGAAAAGUUCAGCCCCGUAAUUUCUGAGAAUUACAAGGACGAAAAGAUGUUUUGGUUUGAACUAGACCGAGGUCAGACAAACAAGCUGCUCCGUUUGUUUAAACCAUCACCAUCUGUAAGGGCACCACCAUCGAUAUCAAGAGAUGCUGUACCACCACCCAGAAAGCCUAUUCCGACAUCUUCUCUUGCACAGAUAGGUGACUUGGGAGCAACACGUGUUGAUAAGUGGAGCAGUCUGUUCAAAUCUUCCGAUGAGUCUACCGAAAACAAAGAAAAAGACUCAAAAGAAGGUGCACUCGGAGCAGGUUCAAGAUUAGUCAAUCUUGGAAAAACUAAAGAAUGGGAAACAGCUUCCAAUAAUGCAGAUGAGCGAAGAACUCAACCAUCAGUGUCACAGUCUGGUACAUCUUACUCAUCAGCUCUGAAAAACAUGACCGCUUCUUCAACUCUGGAGAAGAAAACUUCUUUGACAAAUGAAGUUUCAUCUCAAGCAUGUAAAGGUGUUGAAAAUCAUUGGACAUCGGCUUCUCGAGUUCCAUCUUUCCGCCAAGACAGUGGAACUUUCAGAAAUGCUUCAAAGGAAGGUGACGAUGUCAAAGUGAAUGCUUAUCAUCAUCAACAAAAUCUCCAUCCAACACAAAAGGGAACCUCUACUACAGCUAACAAUAGAAUAGGAACUAGCAUUAGCAAGGAAGAUCCUGCUGAGGAUACAUAUUCAGUCAUCGAUUGGGAUGCAGCAUCUUCCUUUCAAGUCCAUCUGGAUGGAUUGAACAAGAUUUUGGAGGAUCCUAAGGAUAAGGACUGUUUCAAGAGCUUUGCGGGUAACACAGGACAAGCUUCUUCAUCUGUAGUGCCUAAUUGUUGGGAGGAUGAGAAGAUUUCCUGGGACUUUGAGGAAAGAAGUAUAGCUAAAUCGCCUUGUGGAUCUUCGUAUGUUUCCGCCGCUACAGGAGACGUGGUUGAUGACAUCGGCCGUAUGGAUAAUUUCAAGGUGGAAAUUGGAUCUCCCACUGUUGUGGAUAUAUUGACUGAGGUAAGUUUAGGUCAUCCAUUGUUCUCUGAACUAUAAAAAAUUAGUUUUGCUUGUGACCCACUAAUGAAUCUACUAUGAAUGUGUUUUUCUCUGCUAGCUAUUGGCGGAAGUCAAGGAGUUGAAGCAUACUCAGAUGAAACAAGCCGAGAGGAUGAUUACUUUGGAGAUGGAGCAGGUAAAAACACUUUGCAAAAUUCGUAAAUUGAUACUUUUUUUCUUUUUUCAUACCUAGCGUCAAAUGCAUACUCUCUUAUCUUGCAGCUUGAAUCAAGAAGGGAGAUACUUCGGCUAAAAGGGAGCAAUGGAAGUCUUUAAGCAUAUGGUAACUAGCUACUUUUUUUCUUUUGAACAAAUGCGAAAAAAGGAAGAAUAUGGAAAUUAUCUGACUCAAAGUUCGAAACGGGCUUUAAAGGAAUACUAUUUCCUCUUUUGUUGUCAAUCCUUGACUUGGUAUGUUUCAGUUUCAGUAUGAAUUGCAGAAAAACUGGUACUGGAUGUUUUUUUGAACUCACUUCCAUUGUUCUUCGGCAUAAAAAGGUUUGAUUUUAACAACUACAUGAAACUUACAUCGCCAUUAAACUAAAAGCUUAAUAUCAUUCCACAUGUACAUGCUCUUUAUUCACAAGCAAAAUGCGCCAAGAAAGUUAUUAAUGAGGAAGCAGUGAGAGUUCUUAGACAAAAGAAACCAUAAAUGCAGAUCUUUGUAUAUGAGCUUCAUUUCACUCACACCUCAUUCUUGAUUGUUAUCUUGGACACCCUCAAAGCACCAAAGGAUUGUGUCUGUAAGAAAGCAACAAAAAAAGCUUCCAUGUGAAGUCCAAACAUUGAGCUUUUUACAUUCUUAAUAAAAUUCAGCAGUUUAAUCACCGAACAGAACGCCGGGCUACGAAUGCGAAAAUGAAAGAUCAAAGAUGUAUUUCACACAUUUCAGUAUCAAUUACGGACCUAUAUUAAAAAGUUUAUCCACGUAAUUUAUUAUAAUGUAUGCAAACAAAUUCGUUUAAAAGUCAGAACAUUACCUCUCUAGUGACUUGUGGUGCUUCUCCUUUUACAAUUGUUUCGGCCAAAAGGGUUCAUGAACCACUUUGGUUUGUAGAAAACCAGUAUGUAUCCAAUCGUCAAUCCAAAAACAAUACCAGGUAUGAAUCCUAUUGCAGCUGCUAUCCAACUAAUCACCUCUUCUUCUUCUUCCUCUGUUUCCGGCGUUUCAUUCUGUUGAUGUGAUGCUGGCGUGUGAAUAUCUCUGCAAACUUCUUCAAGAGAAGAGCCGAAAAGUCCCAGGUUAUCUUCAAAGGAAGAGCAAGACUGCUUUUGAAACUGAUUGCCUCCUGGAACUAGACCUGAAAGCUGGUUAUGAGAGAAGUUCAUGUACGCAAGGAACGAGAGGCUCCCUAGCUCUUGUGGGAUUUCCCCUGAAAGCUUGUUUUGAGAAAUGUCCAGUGACUGAGCUGUGAGGUUCCCCAUAGAUGAAGGGAUGUGGCCGGUGAAAGAAUUGUUUGACAAGUUGAGCACAUGAAGCUCUUUCAAUAGACCGAUGGACUUUGGAAUCUCUCCUUCAAAUCUGUUUCCCGAAAAGUCGAUUGCUGUGUAUAUUUUUAAGAUACGCACCAGCUCCAGUGCUACACCUCUAUUCAUCAAAACUAUUGAAUCAUGGUAAUAGUAUGAUCCCAUGUACUUUUCGUUAGACUGGUCUUCAUUAAUUUCCCCAAGUGAUGACAUCCCACUCCACUUCACAAAGUACUCUGUUGGCAAAGUUCCAUUGAAGUGAUUAUUUGAUAUGUCGAUGAUUCGCAACAUAGGGAACAAGGUUCGAUGUAUUGGUCCAUGGAAUGCACUAAAGCGUAAGACAAGAACUUGUUGCUCCGGCAGUGAACUCAACCAGAACGGAAACGUGUCGUUGAUUCUGUUGCUUUCCACGUUCAAAACUUCAAGAGUAGUGAAACGAAUCAAAGAUCUUGGAAGCUUUCCCACCAGUUGGUUAUGGCCGACGUCAAGCGACCUCCGCUAAGAUUAUUUUGACGAAGGUUUAGAACUGAAAGAGUACUCUUGAAAUUUCCCAUGCAACGAGGGAUUGAACCAUUAAAGUUGUUGUCAGAUAAAUCGAGAAUUUUUAGAAAACGUAACUCGCAUAUGAAAGAAGGAAUCUUGCGCGUGAAGCUGUUGUUGGAGCCAAGCAAGUACUCGAUAGAUGGAUUCCGGACUGAGGAUAGUUCAGGUAUCGUUGGUCUGUCGAAACCCAUGAAAGUGUUGUUGGAAAGAUUCAUUUCUACACAUUUUGUCUUACUUUUUAGUUACGUACAGGGAACCUAAAAAAAACGUUGUAGUUUUUCCAACCAAAUUAAAUUGACCGAGGAAAAUGAAUUCAGGAAGAGAUGACUAGUCCUAGUGAUGAUCGACACUCGACAGCGUCGAGAAGGGUUCAUCCCCAUCGAUGUAUCAAUUUUGCGCAAAAAAAAAAACUCAGGGCUAGAGCCCAAUAGUGAAGGCGGAUAAAGAAAACGAGGGCCCAUUUCACCACAUGGACAUUUGGUCUCAUCGAUAGUGCUUGGACAUUUUGAGAUUAUUCAUCUUUUAUUUUUUUUAGAGAUUGCGAAAUAACAAAUUUGUGAUUGCCUUUUUCUUUUUCAUACCUCAUAGAGUAUCCGAAGAUGAAGAGAGAGUCUGAAAACCACACCCUACGAUAUGAAUAUGAAUUGUAAAAUAAAAACUAAAACUAAACACAAAAUAAAUAAUCUAUGGCUGUGAUGUUGCUUUGUGUAACUGUGUUAAUGAUUAAUUACUGUUAUAGAAUUUUUGGAUAUUAUAAUUCAAAUUUAACAUUUUGAUAAAUUGAGAAAACAACUACAUAUUAAGGAUUACAAUAUCUACCCUUUUUUGGUUAUAAAUUAUGCAUAACAUACUGUUAAUUUUUUUUCUCAAAAUAUUAGAUUUUGUUCAAAUAUUGACUAUAAUCUUAGAAUGAGAUUUCUUAAUAAUUAAGUUUUCAUUAUUUAAAUAUAAGUUCUUAAAAUAUUUUGUUUUGUGAUUUAAAUUGAUUUUAAUAAAUUCAACUAUAUGAUUAAUUUAUUACUCUUGAGUCUUAACAUGUAACAUAUUCUAUUAAAUAUUACUAUGUUUCUUUGUAUGUGUGUUUAUCAACUAUGGUAAGGAUUCAAUUGCUUACCCGUAUCGAGAGCGUGUUUUUAUGUGGUGACAAUUUCGACACGUGUCAUCACCAGGGAAUGUAGUGAUCCAUCUUUCGAAUGAAUAAGUGCCAUGUCACUACUACUCUCAUUAAAAUAUCAAAAAUAUCUAGACAAAGUUAUAAAUACCCUUUCGAUUCUUAAUAAUAUCUGAUUUCUGUAAAAAGUUUUUUGUCUUUAGAAAAAAAAAAAAAAGACGCUAGAAAGAACGCGAAAGCUCUCGACGAAGAUUUGAUUUUGAUCGAUUUAACACGAACCAAAACAACAUCUGCGUGAUAAAGAAUAGAUUUUUGCCCAUUAAAGAAGAGAUUCGACUCUAAUCCUGGAGUUAUCAUUCACGAUAGGUAUGUUUGAUUUCCGAUUUUUUUCUGAUUUAUUCUUUUCUGGGUUCAUCGAUUUUUCGCUGAAUUAGUCUCGAAGAGGGUUUUGGGUUUGAUGAUUCUAGGGUUUUAGAUGUUUUCGUGAUCAUUGAUUUGUGAAAAAUGUCAUCUUUUUAGGUUUCGCUGUUUUUGAGAGAAAUUUGGGAUUUUUCUAAUUUAGGGUUAAUUUUAUUUACACGGUUUCUUUAAUUGUGAGUAGCUUUUACAAUUUGUUCAGUAGCUUGCUCCCGAAGACUCGGGUAAAAAAUAUUGGAAAUUCUAAUCCGAAUUUUCCUUAUCUAUAAAUAAAGUAAAACUUGGUGAGCAAGUAAAACACCCUUGGUGCCCAAGUUGUUCCCGUGCCUCUCCAUAACUAUAAAUUCUCUGUGUGACUUGAUAGAUUUUCCGUUUUCUGGAAUUAGAGAAAGAGACUAAUUCAAACGUUUUUUUUACCUAUCUUGUAGAUUCUAAGAUUGCGACUAAAAAGAAGAUGGCUGUAUAUGAAAAAACCGGAACCGAUACACCGAAGAAAAGGAAAUCUAGGGCUCGAGCAGAUGGUUCAACGGUGGCUGAUAGGUUAAAGAAGUGGAAAGAGUACAACGAGAUUCUUGAAGUUUCGGCUAUUAAAGAAGGAGAGAAACCGAAACGCAAGGUUCCUGCGAAAGGGUCUAAGAAAGGUUGUAUGAAGGGUAAAGGAGGACCAGAUAAUUCUCACUGUAGUUUUAGAGGAGUUAGACAAAGGAUUUGGGGUAAAUGGGUUGCAGAGAUACGGGAACCGAAUAGAGGACAAAGACUUUGGCUUGGUACUUUUCCUACCGCGGAAGAAGCUGCUGCCGCUUAUGAUGAAGCCGCUAGUGUUAUGUAUGGUCCAUUGGCUCGUCUUAACUUCCCUCAGUCUGUUGGGUCUGAGUUAACUAGUACAUCGAGUCAGUCUGAGGUGUGUACGGUUGAAAAUAAGGCGGUUCUUUGUGGUGAUGUUUGUGUGAAGCAUGAGGAUAUUGAUUGUGAAUCUAAACCAUGUAGUCAGAUUUUAGAUGUUAGGGAAGAGUCUUGUGUAACCAGGCCGGACAGUUGCGCGGUUGGACAUCAUGAUACGAAUUCUGUGCUGAAUUACGAUUUGCUGUUAGAGUUUGAGCAGCAGUAUUGGAGCGAAACUUUGCAGGAGAAAGAGAAACCGAAGCAGGAAGAAGAAGAGAUACAGCAGUGUUGGAGCGAAGCUAUGCAGGAGGAAGAGAAACCGAAGCAGGAAGAAGAGGAGAUACAGCAACAUCAACAGCAACAUCAGCAACCGGAUUUGCUUACUGUUGCAGAUUAUGGUUGGCCUUGGCCUAAUUAUAUGGAAAAUGAUCAGAUUCUUUGGGAUCCUAAUGAGUUAUUUGAUAUUGACGAACUCCUUGGAGACAUGAAUGGAGGCAUGUUACCUGGUCCCGAUCAGAGCCAGGACCCAAACCAUGUAAAUUCUGGUAGUUAUGAUUUGCAUCCGCUUCAUCUCGAGCCACACGAUGGUCACGAGUUCGAUGGUUUGAGUACUCUGGAUCUUUGAGAGUUCUGAGGCAAUGGUCUACAAUACUACAACAUAAUCUUCGGAUUGAUCAUAGGAGAAACAAGAAAUAGGUGUUAAUGAUCUGAUUCACAAUGAAAAAAUAUUGAAUAACUCUAUAGUCUUUGUUCUUUCCUUGGAUCAUAAAGUGUUGAUUCUCAUCUAUUGAGUUAAUAUAGAGAACGAGAACAGCAGAGUUACUUUGUUUCUCCUCUUUGUAGAACAAUAGUGUACAUACUUAACAGAAAAAUUAACCAUAAUUUACAAUUACAGUUCUAAAAAAAUCUUGACUUUAGAGAAAAGAAUCAUGGAUAAAAUAACUUGGCAAAGAAAAGCUCGUUCCAAAUAUCUUGAAGACCAGGCAAGCACCAAUGUAUACAGUCUGAGUAGCUAGCCGGAUUUGCUAGCUGCUCCUUCGUCAAUGGGCUCCAUUGCUUCUUGUAAAUUGACGUGUGCGCGUCUUUUCGAUAGCCUGAGAGUUGUGUAAUGUUAAGUACAGUCACCGGAAAAUCGGCUCUGUGGUCUAAUUCUUCCCCUAUCACUUUCAUUAAGGUUUUGCUGCAGUCUGAUGGCCAAUGAUUCAUGUCUUGGAUCGGUGUCGUUUGAUUGUAACAAUUCUUUCCAUGUUCGCCUCCCCAAUCCUCGCUCCUGAUCAUGGAGGUAGAAAAUAUGAAACCUUUGUAUUCUAGGGCUUCGUUACGAGCUAAAUCUUAGUCUGGUUUCUACUUGCGGAUCAUGUCAAAGCCACAUUUACUGGAACUAUUAAAGAUAAACCGGAUCCUUCUAAACCCCAUUACUCAUUUCAUUCUAUACCAUAUCUGAACUAUAUUAUUCUAAGCCAUAUAUCACCUCUCUUUUUCCUGGUUUUUAAUUUGAAGCAACUGUUUAUAGAUGACUUAAAUCACAGAAAAGAUCGAGAAGUUACUGACUUGUAGUGAGUAGGAGACAUGGUAGCAAAGAAAACCCUUGUCUUCGAUGGAUCCAUAUUCUUCUUCACCCAUUUAACCAUAGUCUUCAGCGCCAUUCGAUAUGCAUCCUCGCUCUCCAUCUCAACGAUUUUCUUGUUUUCAUCCUUGAAAGAACCUUCCCUUCAGAUAACAGAUUGAAAAAAAACAAUCAAAUCCCAAGUAUUGAGGUAUACAGAAAAAAUAUCUUGAGAACCUAUAAUUAGAAACAAUGACAAGAUUUUUAAAUUUCAUGAUUGGUACAUACAAGAUCUUCAUUUUGAAGCCAGUCCUCCACCACAAGUAUGUGUUGAACACGACUAUAUCAGCGCCUCGCCAAUGCCUACCGUGUUUGUUGAUCGAACCUUUCCUAACAAUCCGAUCUGAUACUCUAUGAACUGUAGCGUUAUCUGAAUUCGAUUCAAGAAGAAAUGGUGCCCAAUAGAACUCAAUCGUUGCAUUGUAGUCCUACAUAAAUAUACCACAAGAAUCUAUAAGAAUCCUACCAAGCAAACAAUUUUCAUAUCCAAGCUUAAUCUUAAUUUUCUACAAAGCAACUUCAAUGGCUUCCACAAGACUUUCUAAAUCUGAGCCAAAGUAUUAUUGAUUGAUUGAUUCCAAUUACCUUGAGAGAGAAGACGGUGAGGGAUCCGAAAGUAUCCAUAGAUUUAGAAUUUUCUGGGAUUUGUGAAUGAAGAAGACAGAUGAGAGAAACAUACAUUCCUCUGUUCAACGAAUCUCCUACAAACAUCAUCUUCUUCCCUCGUAAGCUCUCCAACAUCACCGUCGCAUUAAACCUAUAACACAUUCAACAACCACAGAGUAAACCGAUCUGAAGAUCAAUCACCGAAUCGCAUUCAAUAUCGAAAUUGAGAGAGACUAACGAAGGAAGUGAGCAGGAUUCAGGUUGCCAUCUCCAUGACUGAUAAUCACUAUCGGGACGGCCAUGUGUGCGGCAAGUGAGCUGCGGCUGAAUGUACGGACACUCCGAUUCUCUAUAAAACGGACGCGUUGACCAGUCUUUGACCCAAUUCCCUUUGAACACAUCGCAUCCUUCCGGCGUCUUCCCCAACGCAAAAGCAGGUGGUGGUGGAGAUGGCGGAGGAGGAGACGGUGGUGGAGGAGACGGAGGUGGAGGAGACGGUGGUGGAGGCGGAGGAGGUUCGUCCACUACAACGACGAUUGCGGAUUGGUGGACGAUUGUCGGAGAGUGAAGAGAUCGACGGGAGAAAGAGAUGAAAUGAUGACCGUAGAUGAAGGCGGCGAGUAAGAUGAAAGCGAGUACGGUGAAGAAGAAAUGAGUGAGACGGCGUUUUCUACGGUGCGACGGUGAUAACAACGCCGAUGUCAUUUUUUUUUCUUUAUAACGUUUACUUUUUUUUUUUCUUUUCUUUUCACUUUUUAUGCCUUUUAUGUAUUAUGACAAAAUUUGGUUCAGAUAAAAAUGAAAUUUGGAGUAUAGUGAAUUAUAGUCUAUGAUGAUGAUUAAUAUAAUAAAAAAAAAGCUAUAGUUUGUUGCACUUGCACGAUCCAAAACCAAACCCAUGUUCUUGCCCAUAAUUAAGCACGACUGUUUAUAUUUUAAUUCGAACUUACAAAUGUAUGUUCGUAAGACUUUUAUAUUAUUAAAAUGAAUAUAAGAGUGUUUUUAAUUAGUAGGAAAUUGUUAUGUUAAUAAUUAUGAUUAAUUGUUAGUUGCUUAAUUACGUUUUCUUUCUUUCGAUUCAAUUCUCGUUUGGAACAAUUUCGUUGUUGUUAAGCCAGCAGCUGGUUAUGAUUUGAGCUCGAAUGUUUAAACUGUAACGCAAUGUGUGUUGUAUCCAAUGAAGUCGUCUAAUCCGGAUUUGAAACAAAAAGAAAGGAAGAAAGCCACUACACUUUUUGCUAAUCACAUGUUUCAACUUUUAAAGGAUCAACAUUUAACCUUGUAUUCAAAGGCCUAAUAAGCAUUUUAUCAGAUCCAACAAAGAAGAAUCCAACUUUUCAUGCCUUAAUCAGUAAUCACAGAGGCCCAUAUAUAAAUAUCUUAACCUCUCCGCUUUCGUGUAGUUUAGUUUACUUAAGAAAAGAAAAAAAUGAAAUUGUCAUGUCGUUAGAUUCACAUAAAAAGAAUGAUAAAUUCAUAUGCUCUGUUUUUUUAUUUGCGUACGAAUAACGAAAAGAAAAAAAAAACAAUUAAAAAAAAAAAGGAAGCCAUCGUCAUCGUCUAUUCGUCUUCGUCUGUUGACCUCUGAAAAAUGCGAGAGCUUCUUCGCGCCUAUUUCUCUCGAAGAACUCUCGUAUCUCUUUACAAUCUCUUCUUCACACUCUCCCAUAAGCUCCUCACUUCAUUCCCUCUCUCUCUCCUCAUGCCCAAAUCCAAUGAUGCCGAUGUCGCAGAAUCUGAAGCCGUUCCGUUGCUCGAUCUUGCCAAGCCGUCGUUACCUAUAUCUUUCCCGAUCAAAUCUCUUCAAGAUCUGAAAUCUCGUUCUUACUUCGUUUCCUUUCACUUCCAGUUUAAUCGCUCCACCGUACCUCUCCGGCGAGACUCCGAUGACUUACCGAAUCGCCCAAGGGUUUUAGUCUGCCAUGACAUGAAAGGAGGGUAUGUAGAUGACAAGUGGGUACAAGGAUGUGAAAACGACGCCGGAUUUGCGAUUUGGCAUUGGUAUUUGAUGGACAUUUUUGUUUACUUCUCUCAUUCUUUGGUCACUCUUCCUCCUCCUUGCUGGACUAAUACUGCUCAUAGGCAUGGCGUUAAAGUAAGUAAGCUCAAUACUUUUUGAUUUUUUAACAUCAAAAGUUUCGAUUUUUGUUGAGAUAUCUCUGAGUUUGCUGAUUAGGAUGAUAACAUUAGAGAGUUUGAUUGUUUGUGUACAGAGAGAUGAAUAUUGCUGAGGAUUUUAUUGGUAAAAGUGUUUACUUUCUUGUGUGUUAUGGAAUCUUAAAGGUAUUGGGGACUUUCAUCACAGAAUGGGAUGAAGGUAAAGCUACCUGCAAAGAGAUGCUUGCCACAAAAGAGUCUGCUCAGAUGUAUGCAGAGCGUUUGGCAGAACUUGCUACUGCUCUUGGCUUUGAUGGGUGGCUGGUGAGCAUUUUUGUUUGAUUUUUAUGUUCUACUCAAGCAUUUAUAAUGUAAAAUAUCUGCAUUUGUAACACACUGGUGAAGUGGUGUGAAGAAAGGUUUCCUUUAACAUAUAAGAUUGUUACUUGCAGAUUAAUAUAGAGAAUGAUAUAGAUGAGGAGCAGAUUCCAAAUUUGAAGGAAUUUGUAAGCCAUCUAAAAAAAGUCUUGCAAAAAAAGUCUUGCAUUUAUCUACACCUGGGGCGUUGGUUAUAUGGUGAGUUGCUCAGAAGUUUUUCCUUUGUUCUUUUUGUAAUCCACUUUGAUCUGAUAACUUUCUGCAGGUAUGACAGUGUCACUAUUCAUGGUAAUCUUCAAUGGCAAGAUCAAUUGACUGAGCUGAACAAACCUUUCUUUGACUUAUGCGAUGGAAUAUUCAUGAACUAUACAUGGAAGGUCUGUCUAUGGGUUUGAUCAGUUUUUCGAGUCUCAGUUUCUUCUAUAUGUAUUGUUUUUGAUAUUAGUGAGUGAUGAUGUUUCAGGAGAGCUACCCAAAACUAUCAGCUGAAGUUGCCGGGGACAGAAAGUUCGACAUCUACAUGGGAAUUGAUGUCUUUGGCCGGGGCUCUUUUGGUGGUGGGCAAUGGACUGUAUGUCUCGGACACUCUUUAAUAUUUUCUUCUCUGUGUAGAAUACAAAAUAAUGAUCUGUACUUAAUUAUUUCUUUUGGUCCUGUUCUUUUACAUGCUAGGUAAAUGCUGCUCUUGAUUUGCUGAAGAGAAGCAAUGUGUCAGCUGCCAUGUUUGCUCCUGGAUGGGUUUAUGAGACUGCACAACCCCCCAAUUUUCAUACAGCUCAGAAUAAGUAAUACUUUAAAUAUUUUGCAAUUUCCUGGUCAUCUUUGAAGUUUGAACUAGCAUUACUGUGACUAUGAGCUUAAAUUUUAUUCUACUAUUGCUGUAAAGGAGACGCUGGAUCUUAUUAGUAUGCAUGUGUUUUCUCUACAGAUGGUGGUCAAUUGUCGAGAAGUCAUGGGGAAUAGUCCAAACUUAUCCACAAGUCUUGCCUUUUUACUCGGAUUUCAAUCAGGUAAGGUGAAAUUGAUCAAGUCUUGGUUCUUAUUUUGUAACACUAACACCAUGGUAAUUCAUGCAUUGAUUUUCUUGGUUAUGAUUAUGUUCAGAUAUGUUCUGAAACUCUCUUCUCUCUUUUUUGUUCAGGGCUUUGGUUACCAUGUUUCACUCGAAGGUCGCCAACUGUCAGAUGCUCCAUGGUACAACAUAUCUUACCAAAGUCUUCAGGUUCAACCAUCUUACUGUCUUUGAUUUUACACAUAUCUAAUGUUUACAUGAACCAAAAACUUUUCCUGCCACAAUAUGACAAUUGUUCUUCUUGAUCUGCGUUUGUCUCUCCUCUCAUCUGAUCUCCGUGUUUGUUGUGUUUUUCACAUCAGCCUCUCUUAGAAUUCAAUGAAGAAGACAACAAAGAUAUCAUCCACGUCACUGUUGAGUGAGUUCUGGCCCUAAUACUAUCCCCAUAUUUAUUUCGGCAAGAGCAAAAAGGGAAAAAUGUUUUUGACAAUUCUGAGCAAACAUUUAAACAAUUACUAUGAAUUUGAUAGUGCUCGAGAGGCAUCUUUUAACGGAGGAGGGAACAUCGCUUUUAGAGGAAAACUCAAGGGAGAUGCGUAUUUCACAACAAGGCUCUUCAAACCCCAUCUUCAGCUUUCAUCUUCCCCCAUCACAAUCUCCUACUCUGUAAGUCUCUGCUUCUAGAUACAUCACAUUAUGAGAUCUUGUUGUUUUUACUCAUGGAGGAUUUUGGAGCUGGUGCAGGUGAAAUCAGAUGAAACCUCUAAACUUGGAAUCCUGCUUUCUUUCUCAUCUCCGUCACAGGAGACGAAAUCCAUUCUCGUUGCUCCACAAGAUUCCAUCCGUAGAUUCAACGGCAUGUUCUCACAGUGUCUCGCCACAUCAGCGCAGACUGUAUCCGAGUGGACGGUACACGAGACAAGCCUUGUCAUGGAUGGUCACACACUGACUGAAAUCUCUGCCUUUUGCUACAGACCAGAUAAUUCGACAAAGAGUGCAGAAUAUGUUGCAUUGCUGGGACACAUCUCAAUCAAAGAUCAUGUUCAGUCCCAGCAUAAACCCGAGACUUUACUUCCAGCAUCACCGUGGGUCAUCGAAGCUCAUAACAUAGAGCUUGUACAGGGUAAUUCUGGUUCUAAGAGCCUCAGGGUUAAGCUAGAAUGGAGACAGAAAGACCUUGAAGAUUCUGCAUUCCCAAAGUACAAUGUGUAUGCAGAGAAUGUGAAGUCGACUGAUCUAAGAUCGAGGAAGGUGCUAGAGAAACCGAUAAGUGAGACAGUGUUCCUUGGAGUCGCUCACGUACCAGCCUAUUACGUAGGGGAACUGGUGGUAGAAUCAGACGUGAAAGGAGUCCGCUUCGUAGUUCAAGCCUGUGGCAAAGAUGGUUCAUGGGCCAAUUUGGAUGAUUCCCCUAAGCUUCUAGUUGAACUGGAAGGUCUCUCGUUUCAAGAUUCGUCGUAGGUUGUUGCUUUGCUUCACGCCAAAAUCUAAAAACUGUGAAACAAUAAAUAUUGAAAAAUCCUGACCCGAAAAAUAUUGUAAAAUCAAGUACAUCUAUUUUUUUUUUUUUUUUUUCAUUGGAAGAUUUUAUAUUAUACGAAAAGUGUUACAACGUCGAAUACAAAGCCGGAUAAACCGGAAACAAAGCCCAAGAGUGAUAUGGGAAACCAAAGCCCGAGAGUGAUACGGGAAGCUAAAGCCCUAGAGUUUUAAGGGAAACUAAGCCGGCAUGAACUACUCAUCCGGAGCCAUGAGAUUACAUACAAAACCUUAAACAAACCUUAAAACACUACCACCAAAAGAAGGAACAUGAAGGCCCACACUCGCAAUCACCAGAAAGUGCGGAAAGAGCGGUAGACGCGGAGCUACAAAGCUCACAAGCAGCCGCUGAGGCAAGGGGAAACCGCGAAGAAAAGAACCAAAUACGACGAUUAACAAGACCAAAGAACCACGAACGAGAAUCUCAAAUCCUAUCCACCAAAACUUCAACCAAAAGAGUCUUAAAUCUAGAACUUUGCAUCCCCACAAAAGGUUAGCCUUACAAGAACUGACCAAAAAAGACUAUAAGAAAACUGCUUAUUCAACUAAUCUAAAGGCAGUGGAAGGACGGUUUUUAAAGAUUCACCGAAAUAAAGGAUGCUAAACCCUAGCCAUACAAACGACUAAGCACACACAAACCAAUGACCCACGAGAGUAAUCCAAAACAGCGGUAGACCCAAAGUACUAAGGCCACCAUCAAGCAAACCGGGGAUAUACCAAACAAGCUUGACUU